Molecule: long non-coding RNA, 61249 nt
Filed under: Prunus persica (peach)
Lineage: Eukaryota; Viridiplantae; Streptophyta; Magnoliopsida; Rosales; Rosaceae
Description: long non-coding RNA (PPER_LNC004148)
Source: RNAcentral
UCAGCCAAUCUUCUAGCUUCUUCUCAGCUCUCUCUCUCUCUCUCUCUCUCUCUCUCUCUCUCUCUCAUACUAGAAGGAAGCCUUUUCCGGUCAAAUGGCGAGGAAGCCAACGAAGCCUUGUCCGAAACUACCAUCAUUUUUCAAGGUCCUACUGGGUGAUGACUUCCCUCGGCAGCUGGUAACAUCCUAUAUAUGCUAGCCCUCUCUUUGACUUUAAUUUUUUUUUUUUUCUUUCUUUCUUUCAUGUAUUAGUAUUUAGUACUUUGACUUCAUACAAUUUGCACUCUGUGUAUUGAAAAUGUAUGGUCAGUAAAGAAGCUUGUACACUUUGCAGUGUCUACCACCUGCCUUUAUGGUGCAUUACAAUGGACCAUCUCACUGCAAAUGUGCCCUUAGAGGCCCUACUGGAAAAUGGUGGACAGUGGGUUUGGAAGAGAGGGAGGAUGGGUUUUACUUCCGUGAGGGUUGGCGGCGUUUCUUGACAGAUCAUUCCUUAAAAGUUGGAUACUUUUUGGUGUUUGAUCAUCAAGGUGGCCCAAAGUUUGAUGUUACAAUCUAUCAUCCAAUGGGCUGUGACAUGAGGAGAAGUAUAGGCAACUCUGAUAAGCCUGGAAAGAGACCCGCAACUGCUGCUGCUGUGGAAGAAACAUCAACUGGAUCCAUCGUGUUCAGAUCAGAGCAUCCAUGCUUCAUAAGAAUUCUAGGCAAGAACCAGUACCGCAUGGUGAGUAGUACUUUUGUCAGCCAAAUUUCUAUGCCAAUUAUGUUUUAUCAACGUUAUCCCUUAUUUGUGAUUGGAAGUUAGUAACAGAAAUCUUUGAAGGGUUCAAUCGAUUGAGCAUUUUCUUUCCCUCUAAUGAUGUUCCAUAUUGCAGAACAUCCCAAAGGAGCUAGCUGUAGCUGAAGGCCUCAUUGGAAAGGAGAAGGUGAUGCUUAAAGAUCCAAAUGGGAGAUCAUGGAACGUUAAGCUUAGGCUCGACAAUAAGGAGCAUCAUGGUGGUCGUUUGCUCAUGACACAAGGGUUGGUAGCAUGUUGGCAAGCGAACAACAUUUCGCUCGGGGAUACAAUCGUUUUUGAGCUUGUCAAGAGGAGUGAAAUGGAGGUUCAUAUUUUCAGAACUGGAGCAGGAGGAAAUAUGCCUUCUGUUGUGCUUGAUGCCUCCAGUAGUUUCAAACAUUAAACCUAUAGUUUACUUCAUUGUCUAAUGUUCUGUUGCGCUGGAUAGCAUGUAUUUUGCUCCCAUGAUUAAAGUUGUAUGCGCCUUUGUUUGGUUAUGAAAAGGAAAGCCUAUCAAAAUUAGAAUUGAUUGAAAAGUUAAGAUGGACACCAAUCUCUGAUAAAUCAGCUUUCAAAGUUGAAGAAAGUGAGUGCACAAUGCACAUGCACGACUGAAAUAUCAUGGAUUGGCUUUUUUGUUUCUUUGUUUCUUACAUUUCCUGUUUCUUUUAUCUCUGUUCCUUUUGCUUUAAAAUGACUGCAAUAUUAUGGAUUGUUUAACUGAUUGUGGUAUGGGUGAGGAAUUAUUAGGAAGUUAGAACACAAAGAAACAUUUGCUACUUCACCUUACCUCUAUGGCUCAAUGACCAGUAGCACAAUUUACAGACUCGUCAAACUCACACAUUUUAUGGCUUCUGUUUUACAUACAACUAGGCAUCAGUUUCCUACCUAUCUCAAUUGUGUAUAUCUUGUGAAUAUUAUGUUAUUGAAUUUUGUAGAGUAUACCACCCGAAUUUAUGAACUAUGUCAAUGGACGAUUGCCUCCAACAUGUACUCUUAGAGGUCCUAGUGGAGAAUGUUGGACAGUGGGUUUGGAACUGAGAGGGGAUUGAUUUGUCUUCCAUAAGGGUUGGCAGGGUUUUGUGAAGGAUCAUUCUUUGGAAAUUGCAAAUUUUUUGGUUUUUGAUUAUGGUGGCAAAUCCAAGUUUGAUGUCACAAUGUAUGAUCCAAUUGGCACUGAGAAGGAGUUAGAACCAGCCGAGAAGAGAAGGGGAAAUCGAGCUCAAUUGGAGGAGGAGAUCAUUGAGCUUGAAACUGAAGAACCCGACGAAGAGAGUGAAGAAGAUGCUCGUAUAUCAAACAUAAGAAAGUGUAAGUUGUAUACUAUUUUACUUCUUUAAAGUUUGGGGAGUUUUGUAUGACCUAUAUAGGUUCUUUUUUAUAUCAUAUCUUUGGAAUUGUAUAGGCAAGUCUGGAAAGAGGAUUGCAACUGAUGGUGGGAAAGAAAAAUCAAAUGCACAUGUUGCGUUCAGAUCGAAGCAUCCAUGCUUCAUUGGAACUAUGACGAAGAACCACUAUCGCCUAGUGAGCACUUUCUUCACCCAAAUUUAUAAUCCAAUUCGGUUAUUGAUUGGAAAAAUAGUAAAAGAAAUAUUCAGAAAACCUUUUCAUGGACUAAAAAAUGUCUAAUUCAAGUAUCUGAGCAUUUUCUUUCUUGUUCAUAUUUGCAGAAUAUCCCAAAGGCGCUGGCUGUAGCUAAAGGUCUCAUUAGAAAGAAGAGUGUAGAGGUUGAAGAUCCAAAUGGGAUAUCAUGGGAUGUUAAAGUAAGGCUCCAUGGAAAGGAACAUCGCGGUGGUCGUUUGUUCAUGACAAAAGGGUUGUCAAAAUGUUUUCAUGCAAACAACAUUUCACUUGGGGACACACUGGUUUUUGAGCUUUUCAACACGAAGAGCGGUGGAAUGAAAAUAUAUAUUUUCAGAGGAAACAGUAAUGUUUUACUGGAUGCCUCCAAUGUCGAAUAUUAAGGCUGUAGUUGGCAUCAGAGCCUAAUUGCAAUGAUCAGUAAAUUUCAGGACUUAUUGUGGGAAGCCACUUAGGAAUUGUUCAGAUUUAUGUAUGGUAGUUGUUGGAGAGAAACAAUAUCUGACUGAUAUGGGUGGUUUUAGAUGUAAGAUUUAGAUGUGUGAAAUGUGAUUGAUUAGCAGAUUUCAAUCGUUGCAUUCCUUCUUUUGGGAAGAUUAAUACUGAUCCAUGUUUUAUUAUAAAAUUACCUGGAUAUAAAUGCAUAAACUAAAUUUUCCCAAAUGGUCUAUGUUGUACAGUUUAAUAAUGACUUUUGCCUAACAUUUAUCUAGACCAAAACUGGGUUUUCCUCCUCCUCUGGAUUUUUAGAUAAAUCUGAUUGAGUCCAUUUCUUGAGCAGUGUAAUCAACAAAAAAGUGCUUGCUUGACAGGAGAGACCACAAAUUAUACCAAUCGACAAGCCCUGGACCAGAACAAAUCAAAUGAAGUUACUAGCUAGCUGCUUUUUAUGUAAAUCAGGAACAAGGAGGUUGCCUUACCUUAGCAUAAAGUUUCAACUUAAAUCCAAGAAGACCAGAAAUUGUCAUACCAAGCAAAUAACAAGUUGCCAAAUUUACAUACGCAGCCAAGUGUUGCCACCCACAUCCUCUAGCCACACCUGAAAAAACCCAUAAUCAAAUAAUUGUGCACCAAGAAAAAACAGAAGAAAAAAAAAGAACGAAGUUGAUGAAACGUGAGUGAUCUCAACCUAAAACGACACCUUGAACAGAAAUCAACAAUUAUAGAAAUUGCAAGCAAUGGUGUCAUUGAAGCAAAGUCCUCUCUCAAUACUGCAUAACUUGCAUCGCUGUCAACGAAGGAGGCAGCCUAAAUAUUGUGACCAAACACAAGAGCCAGAAUAAUCAUGAAAGAAAGAAACACGGAGAGCUUUAAGAGUCACAACCAUUGAAUUCUUAGCUCUAUCUGGAUUGCCUGCUCCCAAUUCAUUUGACACCCUUGUGCUGCCACAAUAAGUAUAAUUGAUUUCAAUGUAUGAAAUUAAUAGAAAACUUGGAGUAGAAGAAACAGCUAGGAGCUUUUAGUCUACUAACCUGGCAGCAGCAAUGAGGCCAUAUCUAAUUUUGUAACCAAUUUCUUGUGUAUUUACACUGCAGAUAUAAUUUAGCAAAAGCUGUUUUUAGUAACCAGAAAAACUAAGGAGAAAUAUAUUACCACAUUGCAAGUAGUGAACUUGUUUUUGCAGAGUUUGGCAUCAAUCCACCUAAGAGCACUAGAAUGUCAAAACCCCAUUCCUCCAAACUAGAAAGCCAAAAUUGCUGGACUUAGACAUUGACAACAAAGAUCUAUAAAAGAUAAAAUGUUCUUGUGUCACAGAGUCUUGGCUGUUAUGCUGUCAGACUAUUCAUCUGAUGUAUGUAUGACGAGAUCAUUAUUCGGGAUAAAAGUAAUAAAAGUUUGAAGGAUGUCCGCUUACCGUUCCAUUGUUCCAGAGGGGAGGGCCAGUUUUAAGCCAGUGAGGAUAUAAUUGAAAGAUUCGAAUGAAAAUCCUUCCCACGUACGCUCAAAACUAUUUGUACAACUGACAUUGCAGGCCAACAUAAGAACAGAUAAACAUGGAGAAAUUGAGGUUGCAAGUGGAGCUCCCAAGAAACCAAGAGCUCUCCAAUGUACCAAACCAUAUGUGAUGCCAAUAUGAAAAACAAUGGCAAUCACUGAGAAGACCAUUGAAGUAUGAAGAAAUCUCAAGAUUUUUUACAUAGAUACUGAGAUUUUAAAUAUAUAUAUAUAUAUAUUUCCCUGAUUUUUGUUUAUCGAUAGUUUAGAGCAUUAUCUAUUACUAUUAGACCAUUACUCGAGUCUCUAUUGUACCCUUCAAAUUUCGCCAGCAUAGACCUGUGCCGAUGAACUUUCGUCGAGAGAGGUUUUUUAGUUUUGUUUUAAUUUUGAAAAUAUAAAAUUUUACUUUGUUUUUUUGUCAACUUCUCUAAUUUAAUUUAUGUAAGGACUUAAAAUGACUUAAUUAAUAGUAAGGACUUAAAAUUCAAUGGAUAUUGAAAAAAUAAAUUACUUAUUUUCGCUUUGUUGUCUUAAUUAAAUAUUUCUAGAGCCCAAGAGGCCCAAGGCCCAAGUCUUUGAUUAAUAUAAUUAUUAUCCAUGAAAGCCAAAUCCAAAGUCGAGCCUAUAGCCAAGCCCAUUAGUCAAACUCUCUACUGUUAACCACACUUGCCAAACCAUCAUAGUGUCUUGUUUAUAAACACCUUUAUAAGAGUGUGGAUUUUCGAUGUGGAGUUUUCUUACCCUAAUUAGUAAAUGAGAGCUUUGAAUUUUUAUGGCUGUUUCAAUUUUUUCCCUUUGAUGAGAGAGCGAGAAAAUAUACCGGAGUUGAAAGUCACCAAUACUUUACAUAUCAGCGAUGAUAAUAUAUAUGUGGUCACUAAUACGUUUAAAUAAUUAUUAGAUAAUUAGGUUUCAAAAUGCUGCACUGCAUAUAAAUUUUUUGCGGUAAUGCUAGAGGCACUAACUGAUGUGGCAUAUGACAUGACAAUCCAUGUCAUUUACCACAUCAUCUAUUUAAUUACCUCAGUAAGGGUUAAGUUCUUAACUUUUAAAAAAUGAGUGUUUCAAAUUUGGGACCAUUGUUGUCCUUGUUGCAGUCGGUACCCACCGCCAGUACCAAGUGGCAUAUAUUGUGGAUUUAGAAACGAGGAAGAUGUGUGUGUUGGGUCCGAAGCCCUCUAUCUUUCUUGUUCGAGUUUUCAUAGUUGAUGAGACUCAGAUUUGCUUUUUUGUACUAGUUUCAUUAUGUCUUUAUUAUGAAGCUUAUUUGGGUCGGUGAAUCUGUAUUAUAUUGCUCUUUCUUCUUUGCACUCCAAAAGAUGCAGAGAAGAUAUGUCAUGGCUCGAGACAUCGUUAAGAAAAAAAUUAAGGAAAAAAACUAAUGUUAUGGAUUACAUAGAUGAGUAUAUAAAUUGCAUCAGAUCUUCCCUUUUUUGUUUUCAUGUGAGGUUAAAUCUAAUGGUGUUAAAAAAAACUGGAGUUUGUUUUUCCUAAAUUUUUCAGCAAAAGUUGUGCCAUGAUGGUGACAGUACUACAAAGGAGGUUAUGGAGGAGCUGUAGAGCGGCACUUGAGGGUGUCCUUAGGUCGUGGCUACGUUCAAUAGAUUAUAUAUAAACAUACAGAAGUUAUAUAAAUUAAUUCAAAUUAACCAAAUAAAAUGAAGGAUGUGGCACAUGACUUGGAUUGCCAUGUCAUAUAUGCCACGUCAAUUGGUAACAAAAAGUUGAUAUAAGAGUUGGUGCCCGUAGAAUUACCGAAACUUUUUUGUUCAAGCAAAACGGGAAAAUUUUCAAACGUUGACCAUACCUUAUUUAGAUGGACGGCGUAGCAUAGAAUUUACUGAAUUUGUGUAAUUUUUUCAAGAAUAUUGGUUAUUCUCUGCUUCUCGAUCAAUAUUAUUGGCUAAUUAGCGAAGAUAUAAAUGGUUGGGCAGUUGUGGAUUUCAUGUUUGGAGCCCAGGGGUUCUUGCAUACUUGUGCACUUCCUAAUUGUGAAGUCAAUUCCAAGAAUUAAGUUUUUGGUAAGAUUCGUUGAACACAUUUGGUAUGUAGGCUCGUGUUUUAGUUGCUUGAACACAUUUAGUAUGUAGGCUCGUGUUUUAGUUGCUAACUGGAGCGAAUGUGUUUGGAAGUACAAUGUAUGAGAGAAGGCCACACACAUCUCCAAAGAGGUUUUUAUCACAAAAACUACCCUAGGUACCUGCCGUUGGGUUCCAUCAAAAAAUCUAUUAGCUUAUCAAAAUUUGUUAUCAAAUUGAUCUCGUCAGUGAGCCCUUUCUGGUUAACGCCGAGCUGAUGGAUACAUAGACAUUUCAACUUAUAUAUCAAAUAGGUUUUGUCCUUCUAGAAAAUUUACACAUACAAUAAAACAUUAUUUGGUUGGAGCAUUGGAGAAUGAAGUCUAGGGUUUAUUAGUGAAAUCCUCUUAAUCUAAUCUUAUAUGAUCUGAGGUGCACCAUAGAGUGAGUGAGAAAGAGUAAGAUAUAGAGAGAGAGUUUUUUAGUCAAGUGUGGAUUAUCUUGGUGAUUUGUAGGUUGUAACGUGUGGCCUCCAUUCUUGUACUUUCUUGUAUAUGUUCAUCAAGUCUUGGUAAGAUAGUCCUUUUGUUGGUUGUCAGUCCCGUUCUCCUUUCUUCUGACCCCUGUGGUCCAAUAAGUUUGUGGUUACCCACCCUUGGAUCUAAUCUAAGGGUGAAGAAAAAACUGAUUUUAAAUCCGUAUAAGGUUAUUUCAUUCAAUUUUUAUGACUUGUUCUUCUUCUUCACCGCCUUGGAUUCAAUUUUUAUGAUUUGAAAUCCUAGAUUUGAAUGAUGGAGGAACCCAGAUUUGAAAUCAAGGUUGGGUGUGGGUGAGCAAACUCCUUGGACCACAGGGGUCCAGGAGAACGAGACUGCUUUUAUUGUACCUGUGGUCCAAGACAACCAUCCUAAUUUUUGAAAAUUUGUCGUAUCCCUGUAUUCGUAUCCGUGUCCGUGCUUCUUAGUUGCUUGAUAUAGUCGAAGAAUUUAAUACUGCUAUCUCAUGAACGUAGACAUAUCGCCAAACCAUGUUACUUCAUGGAUUCUCUUAUUUUGUUUUAUUUCUCGAUGAAUGCAUAAACAAAGUUUUCCCCAAAUGGUAAUUUGUUGUUUAACAAUUACUUUUGCCUAACAUUUAUCUAGACCAAAACUGGGCUUCCUUCCUCUGGAUUUUUAGAUAAAUCUGAUCGAGGCCAUUCCUUGAGCAGUGUAAUCAGCAAGAGUGUGCUCGCUUGAAAGGAGAGACCGCAGGUUAUACCAAUCCACAAGCCCUAUGCCAAAACAAAGCACAACAAAAAUCUGAAUUCAGUGAACUAUUUAACAAAACAAAUCAAAUGAAGUUAUAAGGCUGCCUCACCUUGGCAUAUAGUUUGAACUUAAAUCCAAGAAGACCAGCAAUUGUCAUACCAAUCAAAUAGAAUGUUGCCAAAUUUACAUACACAGCCAAGUGUUGCCACCCACAUCCUCUAGCCACACCUGAAAAUACCCAUAAUCAAAUUAAUUUACACCAAUUUAUUUAUAUAUAAAAAAGAGGGAGAGAGAACAAAGUUGAAAUGUGAGUGAUCUCUACCUGAAAUGACACCUUGAACAGAAUCAACAAUUAUUGAGAUUGCAAGCAAUGGUGUCAUGGAAGCAAAGUCCUGUCUCAAUACUGCAUAACUUGCAUUGCUGUCAAUGAAGAAGGCAACCCAAAUAUUGUGACCAAACACAAGAGCCAGAAUAAUCGCGAAAGAGAGAAGCACGGAGAGCUUAAGAGUCGCAACCAUUGCAUUCUUAGCCCUAUCUGGAUUGCCUGCUCCCAAUUCAUUUGACACCCUUGUGCUGCCACAAUAAUUUAUUUUCAAUGUAUGAAAUUAAUAGAAAACUUGGAGUAGAAGAAACAGCUAGGAGCUUUUAGUCUACUAACCUGGCAGCAGCAAUGAGGCCAUAUGUAAUUUUGUAACCAAUUUCUUGUGUAUUUACACUGCAGAUAUAUAAUUGAGCAAAAGCUGUUUUUAGUAACCAGAAAUAACAUGUUACAGCAGAAAAAUUAAGGGGAAAUAUAUUAAAGCAGUUUACCACAUUGCAAGUAGUGAACUUGUUUUUGCAGAGUUUGGCAUCAAUCCACCUAAGAGCACUAGAAUCUCAAAACCCCAUUCCUCCAAACUAGAAAGCCAAAAAAUAGAGAAAAAAAUUGCUGGACAUCAAUAAAGAUCUAUAAAAGAUAAAGUGUUCUUGUGUCACAGAGUCUGGCUGUUAUGCUGUCAGACUAUUCAUCUCAUGUAUGUAUGACAAGAGAACAUUAUUCGGGAUAAAAGUAAUAAGAGCUUGAAGGAUGUCCACUUACCAUUCCAUUGUUGCAGAGGGGAGGGCCAGUUUUAAGCCAGUGAGGAUAUAAUCGAAACAUUCAAAUGAAAAUCCUUCCCACGUACGCUCAAAACUCUUUGUACAACUGACAUUGAAGGCCAACAUAAGAACAGAUAACCAUAGAGAAAUUGAGGCUGCAAGUGGAGCUCCCAAGAAUCCAAGAGCUGUCCAAUGUACCAAACCAUAUGUAAUGCCAAUAUGAAAAACAAUGGCAAUCACUGAGAAGACCAUUGGCAUGACAUAUACAGAUUGUGUCUGAAGAAAUCUCAAGAUGUUUUGCAGGAAUCCAUAUGCAAAUAAUCCAGGGAUCAGAUGUUUCAAAAAGAGAGCUGCAGUUUUUGAAAUUUGAGGAUCUUGAUGGAGUAAAAUCAGUAAGGGCUCUGUAUAGAACCAGAUUAUGGAUAUGAUGGAACAUAACAGGAAGGAUAUGAUGCAAGAGGCUUGUAGAUAAAUCCCCAACAUUCUGUACGACUUUGCACCAAAGCCUUGUCCACAAAGUGUCUCAAGAGCUCCACUCAAACCAACCUAAUCCAAAAAAUGACAGACAAGAAAACAAUUAAAAGAAAAGGCCAUCAAUGAUCUUAUUAGAUUUUAUUUCACUUCGUUAAAGAUAUCAUGUUACAAACUGUCUGACAACCGAACAUUUUCUUAUGUGACUGGGAAAUUACCACGAGCGCGAAACCAGUAACAUUGGCCCAUGAGUUGGCCAGGGUUGCACCAGCCAACUGAAGCUCACCAAGGUGGCCAGCAAACAUGACUGAGACCAAUGGGAUCAAGGAAAAGAACACAUUGGUGGGAAUUGUUGGCAAUGAAAAUAAGACCUGUUUUUUGGCCUCCUCAAUGUCUAACAGGUUGUUCCACCACCUUCUUUCGGAUCCUUCUUCUCCAUGCCCACCUGCCUAGCUAAUGACUUAAAAUUGGAAUAUUCGUGCAAGUUUUGGAUAUCAAAUUUCCAGAAUUAAAAAGAAGGAAAAAUAAAAUAGUACAUCUGAUCAGAAAACUUAUGUUACUAAAUGGAGAAGAUCAAUAGGUAAUCUGGUUAUAGGGAAAUGCAUGCAUCCAAGAAAUUGAUCUCACCACACCCUGCACUCAAACCAUUUUCCAAAAAAAUUCAGUUUUGCCCCUCUGUGUGUAUUCAUGAAAAUAAAAACAAAAACAGCUGAUGACCAGUUUUUUACAGUAUCUAUACCAGAAAGAGUUAUAACUGGAAUUUUCGGAACUUAAUUUUGAGCUAGAUGUACUUCACUAGUGCCAAGUAGAAUUGAUUUUUGAGUAAAUGCUAGCUAGAAAAGCAGAAUUCACCAUAAACAAAGUAAUACAAAAGAAAGGUUGAAUUUCCCACCUUCAGAAAUCAUCUUCUCCGCAACCUAGAAUAGAUUAUAUAAAUUGAACUUGUAAAUUAAGCAGCUGAGUUGUGAGAAAAAAAAAUCAACAAUAAAGAAGGUAAAAACUAAAAUAGCCACAAGCUGGGAAGGAGGGAUCAAUGGUGGUCAAUGACUCAAAGACAAAGAUUUCGGAGAAAUUAUUGUGUGACAUAUAUAGUCAUGAACUACUGUAUAAGUAGAGUACAACAAUAAGACUUUUGUUUUCUGAUCUUCAAGACUCCAAUCAUAGACAUUUUUAUGGUAUAUUUGUUCUUUUCUUGGUCAAAUUGUUUGGUACAUACUUCAAUCAUACGUUAUAUAUUUUUGUAAUUUUAUGCACUGCCUUAUUCCAUCCAUGUGACUGUGUGUGCACCAAUAUUCUGCUAAAUUAGAAUCUGGACUUUCCAGUUUCAUCAACCAAAGAAAAAAUAAAUUGAUAACUAUAACAUGACCAGAAAAGUGAUCGAAUGUGUUAGGAACCAGAACAUUUAUGUAAACGAAAACAGUACCUGUUUUUCGGCCUCCACCAGGUCCAAGUACACUUUCUUCCGUGACCACCUCUUUCUUUUUGCUCCUUCUCCAUGACUACCUGCCUCCAAUAAGGGUGUGGUAAUAUUUCUAUCUGAGUGACCUGUGUUUGCUAACAUCUCCAUCUCCCUUUUUUUUUUUUUUGGGUGGAAUGCGAUCCCUCACCUUCUUUUUCUAUGGGAUGCGAUGUUUUUGAGCUUUGUUUUUCCUCCUCCUAUACCUUCUGCUUCUGCUUCACACACUGUGCAUAUAUAUACAUACAAGUACUUCAUAUCAUCUCCUGAUUUCUUUUUGGUGUUGAUAGUUUGUUUAUGUAAAAAACUACGUGGUUUUAGACUUUUCUAAGACCGAAACAAAGUCCUUUUCAGGGCUGCUAAAGUACAAAAUCCCAAACCUAAAGAGCAACUCUAGUCGAUAAUUAUUUAUUUAUGUGGGAACAUUUGUUAGCUGUUGUCUUAAAUGAGACCCAUCGUGAGACUCAUAUCAAUCACCGAUUGUCUAUUGCCUUAAAUGAAACUGAUCGUGAGACUCAUAUCAAUCACCGAUUAAGAACUAUCCACAUGUACAAUGAUCAUCAUGUGACUCACAAUUAUCUAUCAUGGUUCUGGCAUUUUCGUGUUUUAGAUGACUACCACAACAAUGAUAGAUGUACUUUUGGUGCAUAGGCGUAUGCUUUUUCUCUCUCAUACAAAAUCAUAUGAGGCUCAGUACAACUAUGGGGGGACCUCGCAUAAUUGCAUGAGCCAACAAAUGCAUACCUCAUAUAACCUAUCUCCAAACUCUAAUAAGUUAAAGUACCAAUUAGAAAAUGAUAAGUGACUAGUUUUGAGUUUUUCUCUUUAAAUAGGCUCUAUAUGGGUUUUUAUAUAAUAUGUCAUGCUAAAAUGGACUUAUUUGUAAAAACCUAUAACUUUUUUUUAAUACAAGCGAUUGGGGGAGGGGGGUUUACACACAAAUAUUCAUUAGGUGUCUGGAAAUUUUAAACCUCUGCCCACAUAGAUAGAGGUGGCUUACUAGUAAUGCAGUGACGAUAAUAUAUGUUUGAUAAUACGUUUCAAGAUGAUUUCAUAAUUAGGUUUCAAAGCUCCAUUAACUUUUUGUUUUAAGAAAAAUUGGGGUACAUUUGAAACCUUGACCAUACCUUAUUCAGAUAUGGAUGGUCUAGCAUUUAUUGAAUUUUUGUAAUUUGUUCAGGAAUUUGGUUAUUCUCUGCUUCGAUCCAUAUUAUUGGCUUGGCAAAAAAAAAAAAAUGUGGAGACACGUGAGAUUUUUGACUUGCAAUAGCAUUUGUGAGUAUGGUCGGGCUGAGGUUAAGGGCUGUCAUGGCCGAUUCGUACUUAUGUUUGGAUCCCAGCGGUUCUUUGCAUACUUCUCGGCUGCCUACCAAUUGUGAAGUCAAUUCCAACAAUUAAGCCGCCUUUGGUAUUCUAUUCAAAUAGAAAUUUCAAAAAUUUUGAAUUUUUUUUAAAUAAGGAGUUCUUAAAUCUAUUUUUAAGAUUCAAAAACUUGUUUGGUAUGCAAUUUGAAAACUUUUUUCAAAUCUUAAAAAUUUGAGAACUUGUGGGUUGUUAGAAAAGAAAAAACUGAAAAAACAGAUAUUUUUUGUUUUUAAUAAUUGGGGUGUUUUUUAAUUGUUCUUGAGUUUGAGUUUUUAAAAAAUAGGGUUACCAAACACAUUUUCUUUAUUUUAGACUCAAAUUUUUUUUUUUUUUUUUGAGUUUAAAAGAUUGGAUUCAAGUUGAAUACCAAACAUGCCCUAAGUUUUUGGUAAGAUUUGAUGAACACAUUUAAUAUGUAGGCCCGUGUUUUAGCUGCUAACUGGAAUGAAUGUGUUUGGAGGUAUGUAUGAGAAUGAAUCAAAUGAUACAUGUAUAGGAGCUCUGCGUAACCCCACAGAUCCCUGAAGUUACUUUAUUUUUUAGAGGUUUUUAUCACAAAACGUCCUAAGGUUCAAGAACUAUUAAUAAUAAUUCCUUAUCUUAUUUUCUUUUUUCUUAUCGUCUGAAAUCAUCCUUCACGCUAAACCCCACACAUUAUUUGUGUACCUACUAUUGGAUUAUGUCAAAAAAAUAUGUUAGUUGCUUACGUCAGGUGACCGGAUUGACCCAAAAAAAAAAGACACACACACACAACACAACCAUGCUGAAAUUUAUUCACAAGGUCAUCUACUCUUUCAGGGGUGCACUAGAUUGGUAAAGCGGGCCACAGCCCAAAGAAAAGAUUGUAAAAAAAGCACACUAAAACUUGGAGGCAGGUUCAGGCGGUAUCGGAUCGAGGAGCCCAAUUCUUGAGCAGUACAGUGCCCAAAAUUAUGCUCGUUUGACAAGAAAUGCCAAACAUUAGUCCAAUCCACACAGCGGUGGACCUAGAAAUUUUUCAAAGAAUGAGUAAUAUUUCAAAGUCUAAAACGAUAUUUAAAAAGACUAAAAACACUAUAUUAAUCACAUUAACUAAUUCACCAUGUUAAUUAUAUACAAAUAAACACAACAUUGAAAUAUUAAUCAUUUAAUCAAACCACAACAAUCUUUAUUAAUUAAUUACAAACUAAAAAUAUAUACAAAUAAAUAAAUUCAAAAAAAUCAAUACAAAAUAUCCAAAACAAAAACUCAAUCAAUUAACCAAAACCCAAUAAUCCAUCCUAAUUAAUUAAAGCAUAAAGAGAAAUAACUUUGAAAUUUGAGAGAGAAAUUAAUAUUCCAAACAAAUUGUGGAGGGUUGGUCCAUUGGUGGAUGGCUUAUCUCUUCUGAUUUUAGAGCUGCCAUGGCUUAUGCCCACUUCACAACCCUUCUUUUGCCUCUAAAACAAAUGGGUUUCCACCAAAUAAAUAAAAGAAUACAGAGAGGGAGAGAGAUCCUUUCAGGGUGUCGUUGCUGAAUGAAUGUAAUGGAAUUUACUUAUACCAAUUUGAGAGAGGGAGAGAUAGUCAAUGAUAAUGAAAAAAGCACAAAGAGAAAAGCUAAUGGAUGAUGAAGGCAAAAGAGGAUUGAGAAAAAAGGGAUGUGGUUGGGGAGUUGGCCGGUGUGGGUAGUGGUGGCCCUUUCUUUUUAUUUCUUUUUUUUUUUUUUUUUUUUGGUUUCACUUGGACCAAAACUAUGCGUUUUGGACAUAUCACUUUCAAAAAAAAAAGAACCCAAACAGCCUUGCGCGCUGCAGCCUGCGCAAAGAGCUGCUGCCUGGAGCUUCUUUGGAGCAAAUAAUCGAACAGCUGGUGGGCAAUAGAAGAAGGGCAUUUCUAGCUUCUCAAAGUGAUUUUCCGGCGAGGGGAGGUGCAAGUGCACCUCCUUGCGCCUCUGUAGAUCCGCCAGUGAAUCUACAUGCCCUGAAAAAUCAUAAGAGAUUGAAUUAAGCACAAACUUCAAUAUUGAAAAAUACCAAUAAACAAAAAUUAGGUUUGUUCUAUUCAUUAUGUAUAUCAUGAGUGCAACAUGAUAGCGGAUAAACUAGCUGAAUUGGGUUCAUGUCUUGAGUUAGGUCUGUCAACUUUCCAGGACCCUCCUGACAGUAUUAGAUCCUUUCUUAGUAAAGAUUUACUUGGAGUCUGUAGGCCUCGAGCCAUUAUUUAAUUUCUUUGCUGGACAUUAGCCCCGUUUCUUCAAAAAAAUACCAAUCAACUAGCUUAGCAUACAAACAACACAAAUGUCUCUCUCUCACCUUGACAUGUAACUCGGUCGUGAGCCCAAGAAGGCCCGAAAUAGCCAUGCCAACCAAAUAUGUGGCCAGAUUAACAUAGCAGACCAACUUUUGCCACCCGCAUCCUGCGGCCAAACCUGAAAGAAAAAACCCCAACCCCAAAUCAUUUCCCAUGCAACUUGCAAGCACCCCAUGAAAAACAAAACAGGAAAAAUGGAACCAAAGUUUUUUUAUACCUAAAACAACACCUUGUAGAGGUUCAACGAUCACAGAGACUGCAACCAAGGGUGUCAUGGAUGCAAAGGCUUUUACUAUUUCUGGUGUGCUGCCGAAUAAGCCAGCCCAGAAGUUGUGGCCAAUUGUCAGUGCUAGACCAAGAAGGAAAGCAAGAAAGCCAGAGAACUUCAGAGCCACAGUCAUGGCACUCUUAGCUUUCUUUGGAUUGCCUGCUCCCAGUUCGUUUGAAACUCUCGUGCUGCCACAAUAUUAUUAUUUUAUGUAAACAAUUAAUCAAAAUUAUAUAAAAGCACUUGAUCAAUUGACAAAAUUACUUGAAAAAUAAAUAGAGUGUUACUAUUAUUUCACCAACCUGACAGCAGCACUGAGGCCGUAUGACACCAUAUAACCAAUUAACUCCACAUUGACACUAUGAUUAAUAUACAUCAAAAUAAAUAAAUAAAUAAAACAAAAGAGUGUCCAAACGGGAAAUAACAAUUUAAUUAUUUGUAUAUAUAAAUAAAUAAAACUUACCAUAUCCCAAGUAGGGACGUGCUCUGUGUUGGAUGUGGAAAUGCUCCUGCCAUGAAGACUAAAAACUCGAAGGUCCAGUCUUCCAAGCUGGAUUGAUUUAUAUAAAUAAAAAAAGACAUACCAAAAGCAACCUACUUUAAAUAAUGAACAUUUUGGAGGACACUUACCAUUCCACUGCGGCACCAGGGAGGCCAAGCCUCAAAACCGUAGGGACGUGACUGAAUGAUGCCAGGGAGAAACCUUCCCAUGUAGACUCGAAUUUCUUCGAAGAAGAAUGUAGACGGCGAACAUAAGAAGAGAGAAGCAGAGGGAAAUGGAUGCUGCAAGUGGAACACCUCUGAAGCCCAGAGGAGUGAAGUGGACAAGAUAAUAGGUGAGGCCUAUGUGGAGGCCGCGGCUGAUGAAGGAGAAUAUAAAGGGGACGACAACAGCAGACUGGGUUUGAAGAAAUCUCAAAACGUUCUGGAGGAUGCCAAAUGCAAACAAUCCAGGAAUGAACAGCUUCAUAAAGACCGCAGAGAGUUUUGAGGCCUCUGCGUCUUGGUGUAACAACGAAAUCAAAACUGGCUCCGAAAAGAACCAAAGUGGGGAAAUAAGCAAGGAAGCUAGCAAGGAUAUCAAGCAUGAGGCUUGCAGGUACUUCCCUAACAUGCCAUACUCCCUGGCACCAAAGGCUUGCCCACAAAGGGUCUCAAGCGCUCCACUUAAGCCAAUCUAAACCGCGAGAGAGAGAGAGAGAGAGAGAGAGAGUCAAUUCUUCAAUACAUAAUCCAAGAAAUUAAAUUAUGGUCAAAUGUAAAAUUACCCUUAACUAAUUGGCAAUGGAAAAUUGCUAAUAUAUUUAUCUGGAGAAAUUAAUGAGUAAUACUAUUACCACAACAGCAAGGCCGGUGGCACUAGCCCAUGACAUGGCUAGGUUUGCAGCAGCUAGUUGAAGCUGACCAAGGUGGCCAGCAAACAUCACAGACACCAAAGUGAUGAAGUAAAACAUCACAUUAGUGAGAGUUGUUGGCAGUGAAAACAAGACCUGCUUCUUGGCCUCCUCCACAUCCAACAACUUCAUUUUCACCAGAGGAAAAUAAGGUCUUUAGGAGAGAAGAAAUUUUGUAAAGAAGAUUAAAGGGAAGAAGAAGAAGAAGUCUUACCCUCCAGUUGUGGCAUGCAUAGGAAACUUAAUUACCUUAAACAUAUAUGGGAAGUUGGGACCAUUUUUUUCCCAAUUUGAUUUGGUAACCUGAAUUUUGAAGUGCACCUUAACCAAACCUUCUAUCUCCAAAUACAUAUAAGUCUUUACCUCACUGGUGUGGUAUUUGGAUUCUUAGAAAAAGACAAAUAUAGAGACUAAUAUAUCAUGUGUUAAUUUAGUAGCCAUUACAUUAGAACGGAAGUGGCAUCAAUACAUAAUGUUCAAUUCAAUCCAAAGAACUCUCUCAAACACAUGGAGAAAUAAAUUCUGAAACCCCUACAUUUUAAUUCAUAGAGGGACGAAUGAAAUGUUAGAACAUAAGAGGAAAAUCAUUUUCUGAUAUGUUAUUCUUCUCCUUCUUGGAGGAAUUUAAGCAAGACUGAAUGUGUAAAACUUGGAAAUAAACUCAAAUGAUAGCCUAGUUAUUACGAGCGAUUAGCCUAAUCAACCGAUCAGCUAAAUUGCAGGUGAGUAGAAUCGAUAUUGAUCACUUUGAGGAGUUAGCCCACAGUGACUUGGAUUGCUAUAUGGAAGUAGUCUUUUCGCAAAUGUCUGUCUCUGUUGCAAGCAGAGCAGUCCUAGAUUUGGCUUACUUUUUUGAGGACACUUCCAUUUUCCAGUGAUCUCCAUCACAGGAGAAUGAUGGAAGUUUGUUGCAUCUGGGCUUUCUUUUCACCACUGCAUCCCUUCCACCUGCUAAUGUGGCUGUUGCUUUUCUAAUCUCUUGUGGUCCUUCCACAAAAUUUUCAUAACUUUUUCUUGGAAGUUUGUGUUUCCUUGUUCUAAUAAAACCAUCUUCUGAUAUUUCUUUUCCGUCAUCUUUUCUGUCUUUGCUUCCAUGAGUUGGUUUUCUUUCUGACGCUCCUUUAACUGGAAUCAACUCUGCAUCACCUUGAAUUAAUAAACAAUCAACUUCUGCAUGGAAUUUUGCUUCUGAAUUCUCCUGUAAAGUGAAAUCCUUGCUAUGAGUCAUGUAUUUUGGAGACUUUCAUCAUUCAAACAUGAACUUCUUUCGAUGUUAGACAUCUUGUGCUGUAGCCAUAACAUGGUUUUGCAAUGGUUUAGGCAUAUGCUUGCGAUACAAAUUAUUCUGACUAGGUAGGUUUUCAUUUACUCCACCGCGGUGACCCUGUAAUUUACAGACAUUAUUAGGGCAAUGAUGACUUGAGCAAGAAUGAUUAUGUCAGUUCAUCGAUUCAUAAAUAUAAAAAAUGUGGAAAUACACAACUCCAUAACCAAAGAAAAUAAAACAGAAGAAAGAAAGGUUUUAAAAAGAAAAGUAGGGAUAGGAAAGGGAGACAUAUAGAAAGAGUACCUCACUUACAGGCUUCCUUUCCUGCUUAUCAUCUCUUCUCCCAGAGCUGACACAUUUUGCAAGCCCUUCAGACUCUAAAUCAACAACCUCUUCACCAUCAGUUCUCUUUUGACUGAAAUCCUCCAAAUCCUCUUCUUUUCCUCCGUUGCUGUUUUCAACCAGAAACCGAUCCUUCCCACUUCUAUUUUCUUUGCAAACAAAUCUCCAAAACCAUCAUUUGUAUCGAACACAGGAGAUUCAUACACAUAGCUUGAGAACCAGUUUCUGAUGUCAAUAGGCUCUAACAGAUCAGGAAGCAAGCACAAACAGAUCAAUAACUUCAUUUCUUAUUUUUUUAACAUAAAAUACCAAGAAAAUAAAUGGAAGCAGAGAAUACGAUUCAAUGAUUCACUGCUUGCAUACAUUUUCUUAGUAGCCACACAAUUCAACGAGGGGGAAAAUAAUAACUUCAGAAAUAAGUGAGAAAGCCUGAAAGGAGGGAAGGUGACUCCGAAGGAUCUUGAGUCUACAAGAAUAAAAAUUGUGUUAGAUUAUUGUAUAUUUGGAUUCUCAAUAAAGAACGAGGGGAGAAAGAGACAGAUUAUUUGUGAGUGUGAGGAAAAACAAUUUGCUUUUCGAUUUAAUGAACAAAAGCUUCAUCUUUAUUUCCAUUUCCCCUGAACCCACCUGAGUUUUCUUCUUUUUCUUCUCUUACGAUUUCAUCGAUACCCAAAUCAUCGAACAACGAUUUGGAAUUCAGUACAGGCCAGUACCUUUCGAAACAGUUUCUCAGAUCUGGAGGCCAUGUCAUGACUAAAAUAAAAAAAUUAAUAUCUUUCACGGACUUGGGAAAUUGAAGAAUCAGUAACUGAGAAGUCGUGGCUUUGAACGUUCUGCUUCGAAUACUUCUCCAUCAGCUUUUGCAGUUUGUUGAGUUUGUGUUGGUAGUUGGUUUUAGACGAUGGCGCACAAGUUUGUCCCGCGUUUUAUUUUCAUUUGAAUCUCCAGCGUUCCAUUCAAAGCAAAGUGAGAGUGAGAGACAGAUACACACAGGAGUGAGAUCAAGAGAGUUACGUGUGGAGAAGAUUAUCUUGAUGAUUUGUAGCUUGUAGAGGUGUCUAAGGGGCUGGACCAAGCUCGUGCCAUGCACGGGCUGAUCCAGUCUGUUUGACACCUCUAGACUCUAAUAGCUUGUAACGUGUGUCUACGUUCUUGUUAUAUUUUGUAUACAUCAAGUUUUGGGAAUUGGUUUGGUAACGUUGUUCUCUUCUUGUAAGCCUUGCACACGAUUUGGUGUAUUUGAUGUUGGAUUCUGUCAAAAAUCUAUUAGUUUGUUGACAUAGUAUGAGUGUGAGGCCCACAAGAACAAUGAUAUAGUACCACAUAGAUUAAAUCAAAUGUACUUUUUUUUGAAAUGACGUUACUGAACUAAUAGAGUCGGAGUCCACCAAUACAAUGAGAUCCACUUCUAUUAGAGAAGUGGUACACAAUGUGUUAUAUAAAUGUGGUAAACUUAACAUUUUUCUUUCUUUUAUUUCUUGCUUAUAUUGGUUGAGUUCGUAAUGAUAUAUUCUAUUAUUAAUCUAUAUCUUAACAAUUUCAUCCACUGCAACCCCCCACCCCCUCACACCAUCCCAUUUCAGGUUUGACAUGGGAUGAGAGAAGUUCCAGAACUGCAACUCAACAUGGGUAAUCAACUAUGUCAACUGUACUAAUCCGUAUUUUAUUAUGAAAUUAACUGAAUAAAUGCAUAAACUAAGUUUUCCCAAAUGGUCUAUGUUGCUACAGUUUAACAAUUACAUUUAUCUAGACCAAAACUGGGCUUCCUUCCUCUGGAUGUUUAGAUGAAUCUGAUUGAGUCCAUUUCUUGAGCAGUGUAAUCAGCAUGAGUGUGCUUGCUUGAAAGGAGAGACCGCAGAUUAUACCAAUCCACAAGCCCUGUACCAAAAUGAAGCACAACAAAAAUCUGAAUUCAUUGAACUAUUUAACAAAACAAAUCAAAUGAAGUUAUAAGGCUGCCUCACCUUGGCAUAUAGUUUGAACUUAAAUCCAAGAAGACCAGCAAUUGUCAUACCAAUCAAAUAAAAAGUUGCCAAAUUUACAUACACAGCCAAGUGUUGCCACCCACAUCCUCUAGCCACACCUGAAAAAAACCAUAAUCAAAUUAUUCUGCACCAAGAAAAAAAAAAGAACAGAGUUGAUGAAAUGUGAGUGAUCUCAACCUGAAAAGACUCCUUGAACAGAAUCAACAAUUAUAGAAAUUGCAAGCAAUGGUGUCAUUGAAGCAAAGUCCUCUCUCAAUACUGCAUAACUUGCAUUGCUGUCAAUGAAGAAGCCAGCCCAAACAUUGUGACCAAAUGCAAGGGCCAGAAUAAUCGCGAAAGAAAGAAGCACAGAGAGCUUAAGAGUCACAACCAUUGCAUUCUUAGCUCUGCCUGGAUUGCCUGAUCCUAAUUCAUUUGACACUCUUGUGCUGCCACAAUAUGCAUGUUUUGUUUCAAUGUAUGAAACUAAUAUAGAAAGCAUUUAAUGAAGAACUUGAAGGAAUUCGAACUUGCUGGGAGUUUUCGAUCUACUAACCUGGCUGCAGCACUGAGGCCAGAUGUAACCAUGUAACCAAUUUCUUGUGUAUUCACACUGCAGAUAUAGUUGAACAAAUGUUGCUUGAGUAAGGCAGAAUGAACAUGUUUUAGAAGAUGACUAACUCUAAGGAGAAAUAUAUCGAAGCUUACCAGAUUGCAAGUAGUGAAGUGGUUUUUGCUGAGUUUGGCAUCAGUCCUCCCAUGAACACAAGAAUCUCAAAAGCCCAUUCCUCCAAACUAGAAACACAAAUAAAUAACUAAAAUGAUGGCUUCAUGAACAUUAAAUAUAAAGAUAGAGGAUAAAUGUUCAGAUGUCACAAAGUGUGCUUUAUGUUGUCAUACUAUUAAUCCGAUAUAUAUCGAUCAUGUAGAAGUUUGUCUCAAUGUACAUGUGUAUUUAGCUACAUAUAGAUGACAUGUUAGAUAUUUGGCAAGAGAACGUUACUUGAGAUGAAAAUAAAUUUAUUUUAAGGAUUGUACGCUUACCAUUCCAUUGUUGCAGAGGGGAGGGCAAAUUUUAAGCCGGUGAGGAUAUGAUUGAACGAUUCUAUCGAAAAUCCUUCCCAUGUACGCUCAAAACUCUUUGUAUAAUUAACAUUGAAGGCCAUCAUAAGAACAGAUAUCCAGAGAGAAAUUGAGGCUGCAAGUGGAGCUCCCUUGAAACCAAGAGCCGUCCAAUGCACCAAAACAUAAGUAAUGCCAAUAUGAAUAACAAAGGCAAUCCCUGAGAAGACCAUUGGCAUGACAUAUACAGAUUGUGUCUGAUGAAAUCUCAAGAUGUUUUGGAGGAAUCCAUAUGCAAAUAGUCCGGGGAACAGAAAUUUCAAAAAAAGAGCAGCACAUUUUGAAAUUUGAGGAUCUUGAUGGAGUAAAAUUAGUAUGGGCUCUGUAUAGAACCAGAUUAUAGAUAUCAUGAAACAGAAGAGGAAAGAUACGAUGCAAGAAGCUUGUAGAUAAAUCCCCAACAUUCUGUACGACUUUGCACCAAAGCCUUGCCCGCAAAGUGUCUCAAGAGCUCCACUUAACCCAACCUAAACAGAUAAAAGAUAGACAAGAGAUACACUAGUGUUAUUUGAUUUUAUGUCACGUCAUCAAAAGAUAAAAUAUUACAAACUGUCUGACAAGAGAACAUUUUCCAAUGUGACUGAGAAAUUACCACGAACGCAAAACCGGUAACGUUGGCCCAUGAAUUGGCCAGAGUUGCACCAGCCAACUGAAGCUCACCAAAGUGGCCAGCAAACAUGACUGAGACCAAUGGGAUCAAGGAGAAGAACACAUUGGUGAGAAUUGUUGGCAGUGAAAAGUAGACCUGUACUUUGGCCUCCUCAACGUCUAACAGUUUGUUCCACCACCUUCUUUUUGAUCCUUCUUCUCCAAGCCCAUCUGCCUAGCUACAAUCUGGGUGCAUUAGUAAUGUCUUAAAAAUUCGUUUUUUGUGCAAGUUUUGUUCUUAAUAUCCAAUAAAAAAGAUAGGCCUAAUAGAAUUGAUUUGCGAGAAAAUGAAAAGAAAAAUUAACAAUAAAAACAAAGUAACACCAAAAAAAGGUCGAAUCUCUCACCUUCAGCGAUCAUUUUCUCCGGAACCUAGAAGACGAAUAAUAGAGAUUGUAAGAAAUGAACUUAUAAAUAAAGACAAAUCAACAAUAAACUAAGAAGAUAAAAAUAGUACCAAUUUGUUUUUCAAUAAAAACUCAAUGACAAAGAGGUCCGAGGAAUUCAUAUGGCGGAUGAUAAACAUAUAUAGUGUGAGCCAUUGCACUAUCAUAAUUAAAUUAAGUAGAGUACAACCAACAAGAGAAGAGACUUUUGUUUUCUGAUCAAGAACUCAAUCAUGGACACUUUUUGGGUAUGUAUUUCUUCUAUUGGUCAAAUAUUUAGGUAUGUACUUCAAUCAUAAACUUUCAAGUUUGAAUCCCCUCUCUGCAUAUGAAUUUAGUCCACUACUUUAUCCAUACUGUUUGGUAAAGUUCCUAACUCAAAAUUAAAAUUAAAAUACAUGAUAUGUUUUUAGGUUUAUGAAUAGAUUAGAUCCUACCCUAAUUUACCCAAAAGAAAUAAAAAACAACUCAAAACCAUUCAUGACAUGUUUGUGCAAUUAUGCACUGCAUUAUUCCAUGCAUGUGAUUGUGUGCACACUAAUAUGCUGAAACAAAUAAUUUUGGAUUUUCCAGUUUCAUCAACCAGAAAAAGAAAAAAAAAAUUACUGGGAAACGAUCGAAAAUAUACAAUACCUGUUUUUUUGCCUCGAACACGUCCAAGUACACUUUCUUCCAUGACCGCCUGUUUCUUUGUGUUCCUUCUUCUUCUCCAUGACUAUCUGCCUCUAAUAAGGCUGUAGUAAUGUAUCUAUCUGAACUUUCGGAAUCUGCUAACAUCUCCAUCUGCCUUCUCUUCUUUCUUUUCGGGUUUUUAGAGCGGAAUCUUGAAUAAUACUAAUGAAAAGUUAAAACAAUGUCGUGUACAUAGACACAAUAUCAACACUAAGAUCAGCAAGAUCCUUGUUGGAAAUAGAAGAUCAGCAAGAUCCUGUUUCUAAGUAAAAACACGAAUGUUUUCUAUACAUUUUAUUUUAGUAUUAGACAUAAUUAUCCUUACUAAUUAGUAUUUGUGACAAACAGUAUUUCUGUUUUGGUUUUAAUACCUAGGAAUUGAAUUUUGUUUUGAAUUUGGCCAAAGAGGAGGCCCAGAUUCGUUAGCCCACCUUACAUUAAUCACUAAAAAGACAAUUAUACCCUUUAGUCUUGAUAAUUUUCUUGGCGGUCUAACUAUGAAGUGGUGAUACGAGUAAGUUUGUCUGUAGAUUUGCUUGUUUUAUCUUCUUCUGGAAACAGGUUAUGUUCUAGUCAGAUUGCUGCAUCAUGUCUCAUUUUGUUGUUUUGACGCUUUAUUCUAGUACCUUUCUAUGCUUUGUUUUCUGCUAUUUGUCUGUGUUUUUUAAAUUCGUAUUGUAUUGGUGUUGUCUUAUUUGGUGAUUUUGUUUUAUAUUUUUGACGUUAGAUGAGUACUGCUAUUGCCAUUGAGGAUGUGAGAAGGGAGGUGAAGAUAUUGAAAGCUUUGACCCGACAUAACAAUCUAAUAAAAUUCCAUGAAGCUUUUGAAGACCAUGAUAAUGUAGUAAGUCCUGAUCACUGAAUUUUUUUUUUUUGGACUCAUGUGAUUCUGUAAACUUGUCUUCUUGACCUUCUUUGUUAUGGAUUUCUUAACUUCAAUUGUUGUACUUUUCAGAUUAUGUGAAGGAGGGGAGCUCUUAGAUAGGAUACUUGCAAUGUAUUUCUUCUGGUGCCUAUUUGAUUUGAAUGCACGUGUCUUGAACUUGUUAUGUUUUGGUUGUUCUUGAUGAACUGGGAAAUAGGAAAGUCAUGGGAAAAAUUGUUGGUAAUUCAACAGCAACUGGUGCCCUAUCAUAUUACGGAUAUUCUAAUUCCUUUCUUCAGGGGUGGGAAAUACACGGAAGAUGAUGCAAGGACCAUCAUGAUACAAAUUUUUGUUUUUGUAGCUAUUUUUUUUAACAUAAUUGAUAUCUACAUUGUAUUUUUGUUGCAGUUUCUGUUUUUAUUUGCAGUUUUUGUGUGAAUAAGUGUUGAAAUGAUUUUUUUUUUCUUUAAACCAUUGAUUGUUUACAUAAAUAUUGUAUAACUAAAUAAAUAUAUUACAAAAUCAAGUUUGGUGUAGUGGUUUGUGAGUGAGCCUUCCUCUUUUGAGGGUCAAGGUUCAAGUCCCUUCAAUGACACAAAGUCUUUUUUCUUUAAAGGUUCGAGUCCCUAUGCUAAUUAGAUGAAAUUGUAUUCCUAUCUUCCAAAUUAAUAAACUAUAUUAUGUUUUAAAACUAAAACUCCCCAAUCAAGGAUAAUUUGCCACACGUAUACACUGUCAUCAUAAAUUAACAAAUUAUAUCUUUAUAUGGGACUCGUUUCGAAGGGCUGGUUGCUGAAACUCCAAUAGUGCAACCAGAAGCUGCGCCUUCUGCACCCCAUCACCAACUGCCAAUUGAGUAAGAGAGAGAGAGAGAGAGAGAGAGAGAGAGAGAGAGAGAGAGAGAGAAAUUCUUACUAUCUUGAAAUUUGAGAGAAAUUCUUGUUUGAUAGUAUCUUGGAUUGAGAAAUAAAUGGAGAAAUUGGAGGAAUCUUUUCCAUUGACAAGGAGGGUCUCAUUAAAGCAAGAAUAUAUAUUUUCCAAUUUUCAGUAUUAGUAAAGUUUGCAUUAUGCUUGUAGUAAAAGUUAUUCUGCUUAUGGUCGAGGUCGUUAUUGUUUGACUGGAAAGUCAAUAGGCAAGCAAGUCAGAUAAUAAAUAAGGUAAUGAGUUGCAAGGAGUAUUAGGACCGUAUCAAUAUCUCAAACUCCAUAUCUACACCAAUAUAUUCCAAAGUAUCUGUGUACCUUUUUUUUUUCCUUUUUUUUUUUUGGUCUGACAAGGUUCAAACAUACGCCUUGGUAAUCGACUACCUUUGGUUUAACGAUAGUAGUCUCUCUCUCUCUCAAAAAAAAAAUUGUACGUAGUAGUGUCAUUCACAUGGUUUGAGGAGAUGAGUUCUAUUCACGUGGAUACAGUAACAAUGUAUUUGUGAUUAGUUUGAUACCUAAUUUAGUUCACCUCGUUUUGUACACCAUUAUAACAAACUGGCUCAGCUCCGUUAAUGACCAUGCUAAUUUUCCUGAGAUCCCACCUUGAAGGCUAGUAUAAGCAAGAUCUUAUUGCAAUUGGCAGUUUUUCCUUUGCGAUUUCAUCUUUAUUGCCAAUUAACAUAUAUAGAUCUGCCCUUGAGAAAUUACUAAUUUUGAUAUUUGAUGAAUGAUGACUAAAAAGUGGAGUGUAUAUACUAUGUAUUAUUCAUGGCACUUUUUAGCCAUCAUUUAUUUAUCAAAUAUUCACUCCAACCAAUAAGGGGAAAAGUUCUUCCUCGGCUUCAUACUUCCAUAGCUUUCAGAAAAGCUUUCACAACCUGCGCAUCAUGGUGUGAUGAUACAGUUGCUUUCUUCUUAAAGCUUCCAUAGCUUUAAGUUCGGCAACAUCCCACUUCAGGUUUGCAUCUUCCUACAAAAUAAAGUUGCUUUCUUCUUUCUUUUGCUUAUCUUCUGCAUCCCGCUGGUGGCUUGGGGGUGUUUGUUUGUUUUCUUUUUUCACAAUUUUGAAAUGUUUUCUUCAUGGAGAUGAAAACAUAAGUUGUCUCCUCAUUCUGUGCUAGCUAGAAGACACCAUAGUGCAUAUGUAGAUGCCAAGAUUUCAUGUGAAUUGAAAAAAGCCUCUCUCUCUCUCUGGUUUCUCUCUCCCCCUACAUCAUUUGAGAGACGUUCUUUACCUUUCACAAUAUGGGAGAAGCUCACCAGCUGCAACUCAGCAUCAUGGGUACGUAUGCCACUUAUUCAUUUACUUACUGGCUUUUAUUUUACUUUCUUAUUUAGAUAACUGAACUAGAGGUCUAUUCUGUGCAUGCUUGGCUAUGAAAUCAGCUGUGAAAGCUAGGCUAUAGCACGAGUAAAUCAUUGACUAUAAAAUUUGGUUAUAGAAAAAGGCUUCAUUUGGAUUACGGGAUUCCAAAUUCAUGAAUUUAGACAAUAUUAUAAGGUAAAAUUGUUUGUUAAGACUAUUACAAUUCAAAUAUGCGAAGAUUUUAGAUGUGAAAGGAAGGAAGAAAACAGAUGAAUUUCAAAUAAUUCAUUGCAUAAAGUUUCAAAUGUACAUCUAGUUAUUGAAAAUUCAUUCAAUCUAAUUUGGUUCUAUUUUCGUAGCACAUUUAGCCUUAUUCUCAAAUCCAAGUCAUUUUUUCCAAAUCCCUCCAUCCAAAUAAAGCUUUAAUUAAAUAAUAUGGUUGCUUGGUUGCUUGGCUUCUGAUCAUCUUCUGUGUCACCGAACUUAUCAAUGGAUGGUAGGCCCAAGGGAAAAUUCCCAUGACAGAAUUAUAUGGGAUAGGGCUGGUAAACCUUUUCUUGAUAAAUAUUAUAAAUAAUCAUUUGGAUUUAUUCAAUAUGUAUACAUGAUCAAUCUCAUGAGUUGCAACAAACAGUACUGAUCCUUGCAUUUCUGUUCUUAUCAGUUCAUCAUCAGGACGCAAAUGGAGCAAACUCCAGAAGCAUUCGCAACACAUCGGUGCUUCCUCGGGGCAAAAGUUUCAACUGGUGGCUUAGAAUGACCCUUUAUACAUGCCUAGUGCUCUCUGGCCAGUCAGUUGCAACACUCUUGGGAAGAUUGUACUUCGACAAAGGCGGCCAUAGCAAUUGGCUGCAAGCCCUUAUGAACCUUGCUGGCUUCCCCAUCCUGCUUCCCUACUAUUGCAUCCCAGCACUUAGCAAAAGAAAUAAUCCAACCACAAACAGUGUUCAAUCGGAACGGCCGCCGUCUACCUUAACCCUUGCAUCAGUCUAUGUCUCUCUUGGCCUCCUAGUAGCGUUUGGUUGCUUCUUGUAUUCUGUAGGGCUAUCAUACCUUCCUGUGUCCACAUAUUCCCUCAUCUGCGCAUCCCAGUUGGCCUUCAAUGCACUUUUCUCCUUCUUCCUCAACUCACAGAAGUUCACUCCUUACAUUUUCAACGCUCUCUUCCUGCUCACCAUCUCCUCCGUCCUCCUAGUGUUUCAAGGCGACUCUGACUCAGGCGCAGCCGGAGUAACCACCAAAAGAAAGUAUGUAAUUGGUUUCCUAUGCACCGUUGCAGCAUCAGCCUCGUAUGGAUUGACGCUUUCCCUAACACAGCUUGCAUUCAGGAAGGUUAUAAGAAAGGAAACAUUUACAGCGGUCAUGGACAUGAUAGUCUAUCAGUCACUGAUUGCAAGCUGCGCCAUCUUCAUAGGGCUUUUCGCUAGCGGAGAAUGGAAAGGUUUGAAGAAAGAGAUGGGGGAGUUUAAAUCCGGGAAGGUAUCUUAUAUCAUGAACCUAACAUGGUCAGCUAUAGUAUGGCAGCUGUUUGCUAUUGGCGGAGUAGGGUUAAUUUUUGAGGCAUCUUCCCUCUUCUCCAAUGUCGUCAGUGCUUUAGGUUUGCCUGUGGUUCCGGUUCUAGCUGUUAUCUUCUUCCAUGACAAAAUGGACCGAAUUAAGAUAGUGGCCAUGGUUUUGGCCAUUUGGGGCUUUGUUUCAUAUCUUUAUCAGCACUACCUCGACGAUCGAAAGGCCAAGACUGCUGAGAAUGAAAAUGCCAAUGGUGAGGUUUCUACAAUUCUCCCACCUUGAAACAAGCUUCUUUCCAGCGCUCAAGCACUAACCGGUUACCGAUUAUAUAUACAUUGUUCUUUCCAAGUGCAUGAAACAUGUUUAGAAUUUUAAGGCUCACAUCAUAGGUAAGUCAGAUUUCUAUACCUGCGUUACAGGUUUUCUGGUUUUCUUCUUUCUCAAUUUUUGUUUUAUGUUCUGGUUAAAAGAGCAAAAGCAUUUCAUUGGAAUUUCUACAAGUAGUAGAGUUGUAGAAAGUUUUGUACAAUGGAGGAGCGUGAACGGCUAUAUAAUAAGUAACUCCAGUGAAAGAUCCUUUUUAUUGACCAACUAACUCAUACAUUAAUUGGUAACUGUGUAACCUUAAAUUUUGAGACGGUGAUUCUAAAUUUCUGAACUCACAAAUAAGUACUGGCCGAUUCCCCCAAAUGAUUGAAGAAAUGCUUCAAUGUAGCAUAGAUACAACAAUAUUUUUGAAUGCUACCCCUUUAUCCCUCAUCACUAGAACAACAAAAGUUUGGAGGCGGUAGAUCUUAUAACCGUAAAACCCCUUCUGCCACCACUAGGGAUGGUAACACGCCGAUUCGGGGCCAAGUAUAGCAAUACCAUACCCGUCUUCAUUCCAUCCCCAAAAAUAAUUAUCAGGGAAUCUCCAUCCCCAUCUCUAUUGUGGGCUACAUUAAACACUAAUUUCAUUUUAAUAUAUCAUUCAACUCAAUUACAUUUAAUUCAACUCUAAAAUUCAACUCAACUACUCACAAUCAUUGUAAUAUUAUACUGUCUCAGCCUAGGAAUAUUUAAAAUUCAAAGAUACAUGUCCUCGAUUUUCCCUUGUUAAAGCUGGGGACCUGACGUGACUUGAAGGGGAAUUUUGUCAUCCCUAACUUUACUCUUAUAAUAAUGCAUAAUAGGUCUUUUUAACAAGUAUGGGGCAUACAAUAAUGCAUAUUAAGUCUGGCCUAAAUUAAAACUACUAUGUUAAUUUAAUAAUAAUUCAAAAAAAUUAAUAAAAUAUAUUAUUUUAAUCGCCUUAUUCUUGCCAUACUCAUAUAUUAGUAUUUAAAAUUUAAUGUAUCAUUGUAUCACAUCGUAUCGGCGUAUCUAUAUAACCGUACCAGUGCAAAGUUGAAAUCAUUCAUCCCAAAUUCCUAAAGAUAUUUUAUUUUCAUGUAGUCGAUUGACAAAACUUUGGAUGUUGAUUUACUAAAUUCGGGUGAUAUAUGACUAUACUGUAUAUUUUUUUUCUUGGAUUCUCUUAUUAUACGUUAGAAUUCAUGAUUUUUAGAAUAAUUAAUGGUAUAGUUAGGGAAAGAAGAAAAAAAAAAAAAAAAAAAAAAAAAAAAAACUCUUUCCCCUCUCCCUGGUUAAAAAAAGGGCAAAGGAAAGAAGAAAGAAAAACAAAGAUGCUUUCCCCGUCCAACCCUCUCUCUCUCUAUCCUUGUUUGCUCCCUUUCUCUCUGUAUGUUUUGCGUUUUUCAAGAUUUCAUUUAUUUUAACCACCACCAUUUCUAUCGAUUGUUUUAUUGGGUUUCAUCUUUUUUGUGACACUAGCCGGGGAAAUUUCUACAAGAAGUGGUGUGGUUCUUGCACAAAAAAUAUAAUUGAUAAGAGCAGUUAUUGUCAGUUUUAUUGUGCAAGGAUACAAUUCGUUGGGUGGCAGUUGCUUUAGUCAAGAAGUGAAAAAUAUUUGUGAAUGAACUUCUGAUUGUUGUUUCUGAAGACUGCCCUUAAUAGGUUUAUUAUCACCACUGUUUGGGUUCGUUUUGUUGGCAUAGACAAUUGUUCCAUCUCGUGGUGUUGUUGCGCAGUUUUUGGUCUGUCACAAUUUUACUGUCGAUUGGUUUUGUUGUGUUCUUUUUUUGGUGGCAUUUAUGCAGGAAGUGGUGUGGUUGUUGUAUAGAAGUAUGAUCGGUAUUGAAGAAGUUCUUGAUAGUUUGUUUGUACAGGGAUACAAUCGUUGGUUUACAUGUUUUAUAACACCAAUCUUUCCUCUUCUCUUUCCUUUUUCUGCUGUCACUUUUUUCUCUUCUCUUCUCUUCUCUUCUCUUCUCUUCUCUCCUUCUUCCUUCUCCUCCUUUUCUCUUCUUUUCUUCUUCCUAUUUAUCCUGUCCCUUUUCUCUCUUUCUUUCUCUUUUUUCUUUUUCCUUUCUCUUUUUUCUUUUUUCUUUAUCUUUUUUUCUUUUUCCUUUCUCUUUUUUCUUUUUCCUUUCUCUUUUUUCUUUUUCCUUUCUCUUUUUCCUUUCUCUUUUUCCUUUUUCCUUCUCUUUUUUUUUCUCUCCUCUCCUUUUCAUUUUUCUUUGUUUCUCUCCUUUUUCAUUUUUCAUUUUGUUUUGUUUUUCCUCCUUGUUUGCAAAGGCGGAACCAGAAAUUUUACAACGAGUGAGCUAGCUACAUUAAAUCAUGUUUUUGUACUUACAAUUUCUAUAUUUUUUGCAGAAUUAAAAGUAUAUAUUAAAUCAUGUAAACCACGUUAGUUCAUAGUUCAAUUGACUAAUUUUUAAUAUUUUAAAAAAAAAUAUUUGGAUACAAAGCGAUAUUGAGGGAGGGAAAAUUGAACCUUAGACAAUGGUAAAUGGUCUUAACUAUUUGAGCUACAAACCCCUUACAAUUUUGAAUUAGUUUUAACUUAAAACAAAUACAUAUUAAUUUGCAACCAAAAUUAUCAAAAUGAAAAUAUGUUCAACAACAAAAUUGAAAGUGUAUAUAUUUUAAUAUAUUUUUUUAUUGUUGCCAUGCAAUUAAAUUCAUAAAGGAUUGGAUUUUUUUUAUUUUUUAUUUUUACUUUAAUAGGUUAAUGGAUAUUGUGCUAUAUUUGAAAUAAGGUAAAUAUAUAGGUUUAAUUUUUUUUUUACCCAAAAACCUUGCUGGGCUACAUCCCAUUGUAGCCCUUGUGGUAGUUCCGCCCAUGCUUGUUUGUUUCUCUCUGCUUCUCUUUUUUCUCUCUUUCAUCCGGUGGCUGUCGCAUAUUGUGGAUUUCGUUGCUGAAUUUUGCAAUUGUGUUCGAGUUGUUGGCCUUCACGGCCACAUCAUUUUUAGAUCCAUGUUGACGUUGGCAAUGCUUUGUUAGUUGCAAGUUUCUGGUGCAGCCAAUGUUUUGUUGAUGUGUAGAUUAAAGGGAUGUAUAGGCUUCCUAUUCUUUCUUCUUUUUUUCUUAUUGUUUCCCUUUGAGUUGUUCCAGCGCAAGUAUUUUAUUUAAAGAUCACGCAUUUGUUCAUGUCUCUCAUGCUAUGUUUUGGAUAAUAUUGUUGUUUGAGUGUUAUAUUUAUACACUUUUAACUUUUAUGGUGCUUAUUAUUUUUUAAUAAAGCAUCUAUUCCAGAAAGAAAGAAGAAAAAAAAAAAAAAAAAAAAAAAAGAAAGAAGCUCUUAAGGUGAAAUUUUAAAGAAAUAAUAAAAUGAUAUUGAAGUACGGUCUUUUGAUAUAACUUGUGCCAGUGUUAUAAUGUAAAUAAACAACAUAAUUAAUAUUUUUUAUUUUACAAAAUAAUAUCAAUAGAUAUCUACUCAUAUAGUAUAAUUACUCGAAAUUUUAUCCCAAAACCCCACAUUUACCCUUUUUUUUUUUUUUUUUUUUGGGACAGACAUUUACCGCUGUUGUUCCUCUUUGAUCGGCACACCUUUUGCGCCUUUACGAGUUUCCCCAAACCAUCAAACUUCCUGAGUCAACAACCGUCAAAAUCUUUCACUCGUCUUCUUCGCAAAGCACAAGCACAGCCCUAGCCCUAGCCAUGGCUAUCAGCAUCACAGACUACGAAUCCAAUUGCGACACCCACGACCUCUACAGAGUAGAUUUCUUCGAUGACAAUAUCGAAACCCUAGUCACGCACACUCCGUCCAAGGUGAGGUCUUGGAUCCAGAAAAUCAAAUACGUACACCGUUUCAGGCUCCAAGAACUCAUCGUCGGCCUCGACGUUGAGUGGCGACCAUCCUUCACCCAAGGCGUCACCAACCCUGUAGCAACCCUGCAACUAUGCGUCGGCCACAAUUGCCUCAUUUUUCAGCUCUGCUACUGCGAUCGGAUCCCCAAGUGCCUUUUCGACUUUCUUGCGAACCCGAGCUUUACCUUUGUGGGCGUCGGGGUAGGGGAAGAUGUUCGAAAGCUGGCGGAUGAUUAUGGCCUGGAGGUAGCGAAUUCUGUGGAUCUUAGGGUUUUGGAGGCGAGGCACUACGGGCGGGACCGGCCCCGGAGCGUGAGCCUGAAGGACCUGGCAUCGGAGGUUCUAGGGCAGGAGUUUCAGAAGCCGAAGAGUAUUACUUUGAGUCACUGGGACAAGCCAUACCUCUCCCCCGCGCAAGUCAAGUACGCUUGUGUUGAUGCCUUUGUUUCUUUCGAAAUUGGCAAGGUCUUGAUCGCAGCAGAGGAGGACUAAAUAAAACAUGUGGGCUGCACAGUUUUUUAUUUUCUCUGUCUUUUCCUUUUUGGUAAGGAUGAUGAACAAUUGAUAAAUAAUUUAGUUUUGCUUACUUAAUGCAUAUGUGUGUCGUGCUAACUUCCUACAUAAGUAUGUAAAUGUUCUUUUGAAUUUUUAAUUUUUCUUUGAUGUCAAAAUCUUAGACCUCUGUUCUUAUAUGGUUGGUUCCCAAGUUUGGGAAUUUUUUAGUGGUACAUGUGUAGCUUUGAGUCAAAGCCGUAUACUAGUUAGUUUUUUUAUAUUUUCCGUAUCCCCGUGUACGCGUGUCCGUGCAACAUAGGCUUUGACAAUAUGGUUUUUGUGUGUUCUUUUGAAAUAUUUUCAUGUGAAACUCUUAGGUCUCUCUUAUGUUUCUGAAAUUUGGGGAGCCUUUCAAUUUUUUGGAAAUUUGUAUUAGCAAGGUUUUAAUCCAGGUUUAGAAGGUUAGACCAUUGUUUGGCUCGUUUUGCCAAAUAAUGGCUGUUCCCAGUGGAGAGUGGAAGGGUUUAAAGAAAGAGAUAAUUGAACCAUAGGUCUUUUCUGUGCAUGCUUGGACAUGAAAUUACUUGGCUCCUUAUCAUCUUAGCCUAAGGGUAAAAUCCCAUGGCAGAGUUUUUUGUGCAAAUAUUUUUGUAUCUGGGAUAGAGCUGGUAAACAUUUUCUUGAUAAACAUAAGCAAUAGAAGCAUUCAUUUGUUCAAUAUGUCGAGAUUAUCAAUCUCAUAUAAGUUGCAGUUAACAGAACUGAUCCUUGCAUUAUUACCAUUCUUAUCAGUUCAUAUCAGGAACCAAAUGGAGCAAACUCCCAAAGCCUUCCCAGUCUGUCUCUCUUGCCCUCCUAGUAGCAUUUGGUUGCUUCCUGUAUUCUCUCUCUAGGACUAUCUUACCUUCAUGUGUCCACAUGUUCCCUCAUCUGCGCAUUCCAGUUGGCCUUCAAUGCGCUUUUCUCCUUCAUCCUCAACUCACAGAAGUUCACUCCUUACGUUUCAACGCUCUCGUCCUGCUCACCAUCUCCUCUGUCCUCAUUGUGUUUCAAGGCAACUCCGACUCUGCAGACGCAGCCGGAGUAGCCUUCAACUGGUUUUGUAUGCACCGUUGCAGCCUCAGCGUCGUAUAGAUUGACUCUUUCCCUAACAUAGCUUGCAUUCAGAAAGGUUAUAAGAAAGGAAACGUUUACAGCAGUCAUGGACGUGAUAGUCUGUCAGGUUGCAAGCUUUGCUAUCUUGGUAGGACGUUUGGUCAGUGGAGAGUGGAAGGGUUUAAAGAAAUAGAUGGGGGAGUUUUAAUCAAGGUUUCUUACAUCAUGAACCUCACAUAGUCAGCUAUAUAGUGUGGUUGCUGUUUGCUAUUUGCGGAGUAGGGUUGAUUUUUGAGGCAUCUUCCCUCUUCUCCAAUGUCGUAGGUACUUUAGGUUUGCCUGUGGUUCCAGUUCUACCUGUGAUCUUCUUCCAUGACAAAAUGGACCGAAUUAAGGUAGUGGCCAUGGUUCUGGCCAUUUGGGGCUUUGUUUAUCUUUAUCAGCACUACCUGGACGAUCAUAUGACAGCUGAGAAUGAGAAUGCCAUAUGCGAACGCUGAAGCACUAACCAGUUAGCGAUUUUAUACUCUCUGGUUUUCUGGUUUUCAAUUUUUUUUUUUUUACUCCGUUUUUUCUGGUUAAUAGAGGAAAGCCAUUUCGUUGGAAAUGACAUGGGAAAUUAUUUCCCUUCAAAUUUGUUUCGUUCCGUGAACCAAACGGGACCUUAAUUUCUACAAGUAGAGUUGUAGACCUGGACGGCUAUAGAAUAAGUAACUGGAGUGAAGGACCCUCUCUCUUUUAGAAUGAGUUGAUACGACAACAUAUUAUGUUGGAAUGAAUUGAUAAAAGGGAAUAAAAAAAGAAUGGUAGAUUAAAAAAAAUCGUGCUAUAUAUUAAAGGAAAUUGUGUUUUUAUUGACCAAUUAACUCAUAAAUUAAUUUGGUACCCGUAUAAGUCAUCUUUGAGACGGUAAUUCUAAAUUUCUAAAUUAACAAGUAUCAAUUUUAACGUAUUUUUUUAAUACAAUCGAUAGUGUAAACUACAAAGUGGAAGGGGCUCUAUUGGUUUGCAAGUCACUCCGUUACACUGAACUAGACCUCUUUGAACUUAUUGUUUCUACACAAUAGUUCAAAUCCUCAACCCCAAAAAAAAAAAAAAAAAAAAAAUCUUCACAAGUAAUCAAUUUUACGUCAAAACGCUCAAUGCACCCUCUUUUCAUGGAUAGUGUGAAACAAUAAAAAUUUUGGGGGGAUAGAUUAUGAAUAAGAGUACUUCCAACCCUGGUGCCAUGACAAAGGGCAAGUAAGGGCAGACACUAUUUAUAUGAAUAGUGACUACCCUACUCUUUUUUACUUUGCUUUUUCACCCAUUGUUAUGGCAAGUAAAGACAAAUACUAUUCACAUAAGAUAUAAGGAGAGAAAUUUGUAUGAAGUUUUGGUGUGGGAAGUAAAGAACAUGACUAUGUAUUUAUAAUUAAAAAAAUUCUAAAUUUUUUGGUAAUAUAUAUAUAUUUUUUUUGGUAUUUAAAUUAGUCACUGAUGCCAUACUAACAUCAGCAAACCCAGACAGCAGCUCAGGCAAAUCUUAUCUUUGGGCUUGCCUAGGCUGAUGGAGCUCACUCCUUGCCCAGGCUAGCCUUCACUGCUGGAGUUGGGUUUUGGGAAUUGAGGGGCCUUCUGCCCGUACUGGCCUGCACGGGUAGUAGUGGUCUAUAGGGCUCAUCAAUAGGUCGGGUCGGGCUAGCUUGACCCAAAUUUAACGGGCUUAGGCUGAGCCAGGUCGGACUUUAAAGAAGAGAGAGAAAAUACCGGGCCGGGUUUUUUUAGAAAAUUCAAAGCCCAAGCCCGACCCAUAAGCCGAGCUUGAGAAAGCCCAUUGGGCAGGACCGGGCCGAAACAGACCUACUUUAUUCGAAAAAAAUCAUAAACUUAAUCAUAAGGGCAUUUUAGUCUAAAUUUGAGAUUAAACUCACUUAAUUCCAACAUUUUCAUAUCAAACCAAAUUUAUAAAAUACCCAAUAAAGUCACACAACUUAAUAAGAUUUUCCACAAAAAUAAUAAAACCAAGUAUUAUUUUGAGGUUAUUACAUAAUUAGACCGUAAUACGUUUUAAGAAAUAAUGUUAAAAAAUAAUAAGUAUCAAAAAUAUUUUUUUUUUAAAGGAUGGUAUAAAAAAAUAUGUAAAUGUUUGGUGAUGUGUUCAAGAAAAACAUGAUUAUAUUUGGUGGUAUGAUUAUGUUUCGUGAUAUGAUUAUAUUUGGUGAUAUGAUAUGUUAUUCAUCUUAUUUGUAUUAAUAAUUGACACAAAUUAAUGUGCUAAUCAUCCAAUUAUAAACUAUGAAUGAGUAAAGAAAAGUAAAUGAAAUGAAACAAAUUAUAUAUGUGAUUUAGGUGAUAUAAUCCUAAUCCUAAACUCUUGUUUAUACAAAAUUAUAUAUGUAUGCGGGCCUAACGGGCCGAGCUUUUGUGGGCGGGCCGGGCCGGGCUUUCUUGGGCUUAAUCGGGCCAGGCUUAUGGGCUAGGCUGGACUUCAGACACCCAAGCCCAAGCCUAGCCCAGCCCAAGGCGAGCCAAGCCAUCUCAAAGCCCAUAACGGGCUAGGCCACCUCAAAGCCCAUAACGGGCCGAGCUGGACUUUUUUUCAAUGACCCUGACGGGCCCCCAUCGACCCACAAACCCGCGGGCCAAAUGAUGAGGCCUAGUGGUCUAAUAGUGUCACUUUGGGGAGGGCAUAGCCCAUUGUCCCUUGCUCCACAACUAGACAUGCCAGCAUGAUAGCUAAUAAACGGCGGGAGAUUCAAAUGAAAAUAAAACGCGGGACAAACUUGUGCGCCAUCGCCUAAACACAAAUACCAGCACAAAAGCAACAUAAUUUCAACAAACUUUGUUUCCUAAUUUUUUUUUUUUCCCUUUCUGGGUACGCAGAUUAAGGCCUCUUCCCACUUGUUCCAUCGUUUCUGGUUUGUAUUGAUCUUUCUCAAGUGUCUGAAAGAUACUAAAUUUUUAUCCUCUUUCAUUUUUUAUUUAGCCAUGGGAGGGCCUCCAGAUCUGAAAAACUGGCUCCCAAGAUACCAGUAUGAAUCACCUGCACUGAAUUCCGAGUCGUUGCUAGAUGAUUUCGGCAUCGAUGAAGUCGAAAGAGAAGAAAAAGAAGAAAAUUCAGUUGGGUUCAGGGGAAAUGGAAAUAAAGAUGGAGCUUUUGUCCAUGAGAAGCAAAUCUCAAAUGGGGUUGUGGAAUCUGGCAGCUCUUCUGGAAAUGAGCAUGAAAACCAAUAUUUAAGUAAGGUAGCCUUGCUUCUUGUCCUUUUUUGUUUCAUGGGUUCUAUUUCAUAUGGAACACAAUCAAAAGAUUUCAUAGUUUCUAGAUAUAAUUUAUGGUUCUGAAUUGGAUUUUAAGAUUGUAAAUUAAAAGUAGCAACAAAGAAAUAUAGUACUAAGGGAUAAACCAAUGUCCCACAUUUACGCAUUGAACACAAUUUUCUUGCUGCAGAUUCCAGAUUCUUCGGAAUCAACUUCGUUCACUUCAGGUUUGUAUCACUCAUAUCCAUAGUUUUUUUUCCCGCCCAAUUUAUUGAAUUGUUUGGCUACUGAGAAAAUGGAUAAUAUAAGCAAUGCAGUCUUUGAAUAACGUUCUCUGGUUCCAUUUAUUUAUUGGCAAUCAAACAGCAGAUAUGGCAUUUAAUGUUAACAAUUUUUUUAUUAAAAAAAAAACAAAGUAAUUGAUCUGUUUGUGUUUCCUCAUCUGUUAGAGCCCACUGACAUCAGAAACUGGUUCUCAAGCUAUGUGUAUGAAUCUCCUUCAUUGGAUACAACUGAUGAUUUUGGAGAUUCUGUUGGCAAAGAAAGUAAACAUGAGAAGGAUGGCUUUUUGGUUGGAAACAGAAACAGGGAAAAAGAAAAGGUAUUAGGGGAUUUUAGCAUAAACAGAAGUGAUAGCGAGGAGGUUGUUGGUGAAACGGUACAGUCAGAUGGGCUUGCAAAUUGCAGCAUCUCUUUGAGAGAUAAUGAGCAGGAAAGGCAGCCUUUAAGUGAGGUACUAUUUCUGUAUCUUUCCUUUUCCUAUAGAGAUUUCAACAACCUAGUCAGUAAAUCCUUAUUCUCAAGAUCUUGAAGUGAUUGCAGGAUAUAACUAAUGAGAAGGAAAACAUAAAGAUCAAUCACCAAUUAUAGAAAGCAAGGAUUUACACUCCGUUAACAACCUGAAUCUACUAAAACAAAGAACUAGAAGUGCAUUACAACGAAAAGCGAAUAGUUUUCCUCACACUCACAAAUAAUCUGUGUCUCUCCCCUUGUUCUCUAACAAGAACCCAAAUAUACACAAUAGUCUCACACAAUUUUCUUCUUGUAGACUCCAGGUCCUUUGGAGUCACCUUCACUCCUUUCAGGUUUGUCUCACUUAUUUCUGAAGUUAUUGUUUUUUCCCUUCGUUGAAUUGUUGGGCCACUGAGAAAAUGUAUGUAAGCAUUGAAUCUUUGAACUGUAUUCUCUGCUUCCAUUUGUUUUCUUGGCAAUAAAAUGUAAGAUGUGGUUUUUUAUGUGAAGAAUGUAAGAAAAUGAAGUUAUUGAUCUGUUUGUGCUUCCUAAUCUGUUAGAGCCUAUUGACAUCAGAAACUGGUUCUCAAGCUAUGUGUACGAAUCUCCUUUGGUUGAGACAAAUGAUUGUUUUGGAGAUUUUGUUUGCAAAGAAAAUAGAAGUGGGAAGGAUCGGUUUCUGGUUGAAAACAGAAACAGAGGAAAAGAAGAGGUUUUGGAGGAUUUCAGUAAAAAGAGAACUGAUGGUGAAGAGGUUGUUGAGUUGCAGUCUGAAGGGCUUGCAAAAUGUGUCAGCCCUGGGAGAGAUAAUAAGCAGGAAACAAAACCUGUAAGUGAGGUACUCUUUCUAUAUCUCCCCUUUUCCCUAUAAUUUCCCACUUUUCUUUGUUAAACCUUUCUUUCUUCUGUUUUGUUUUCUUUGGUUAUGAUAGUUGUGUAUUGAUAUUGAUGAAUCAAUAACUGACAUAAUAAUUCUUGCUCAAGUCAUCAUUACCCUAAUAAUGUCUGUAAAUUACAGGGUCAUCCCAGUCGAGUAGAUGAAAACCUACCUAGUCAGAAUGAUUUGUAUCUCAACCAUAUGCCUAAAUCAUUGGAAAACCAUCUUAUGGGUUCAGCACAAGAUGUCGAAAUAGGUUCUCAAUCCACCAAAAUAAAGCCAUCGAACAUCGAAAGAAGUUCAUGCUGCAAUAAUGAGAAGUCUCCACAAUACAUGACUCAUAACAAGGAUUUCACUUUACAGGACAAUUCAGAAGCAAAAUCCCAUGCAGAAGUUGAUUGUUUAUUAAUUCAAGGUGAUGCAGAUUUAAUUCCAGUUAAUGGAGCGUCAAAAAGAAAACCAACUCAUGGAGGCGUUAAUGGAAAAGAAAUAUCAGAAGAUGGUUUUAUUAGAACAAGGAAAGACAAACUUCCAAGAAAAAGUUAUGAAAAUAUUAUGGAAGGACGACAAGAGAUCAGUAAAGUAACAGCUCCAUUAGCAGGUGGAAGGGAUGCUGUAGUGAAAAGAAAGCCCUUAGCAGAUGCAACAAAUUUUCAUCAUUCUCCUGCGAUGGAGAUCACUGGAAAAUGGAAGUGUCCUCAGAAAAGUAAGCCAAAUCUAGGACCCUCUUUGAAGCAGCUUCGACUAGAAAAAUGGGUUCGAAAGUUGUGAAAGCUUAAAAUUAGAGUAUCUUGGAUGUUUAGAGUCCAGUAGAACGUAAAAGGGGGUCCUAACUAAGACAGGCAGUUGUGAAACGACUAUUCUUGUGGCACAAGCUUUGAAAUUUGGAAAAUCACCGAUGUUGAAGAGAGAACAGCCAAAGCAAACCUUAAGUUCACUGCUUGCUCUUGCAACCGAGAUAGACAAUUGCUAAAAGACUACUACCAAAUAGCAAUUUAAGUCACUGUGGGCUAACCCUUCAAAUUGAGCAUAAGCAGAUACUUUCUGUGGUGGCAAGGUUUCUCAGAGUGAUAUUGCUCAUAAUAACUAGGCUAUCAUUUGAGUUUAUUUCCAAGCUUUGCACAUUUUUCCUUGUGUAAAUUCCUCCGAGAAGGAGAAGAAUAACAAAUCAGAUCAUGAUUUUCCUCUCAUGUUACUAGAAUUUUAAAUCCCGGGUUUCAGAAUUUAUUUCUCCAUGUGUUUGAGAGUUAUUUUUUCUUGAACAUUAUGUAUCGGAAGCGGAUACACUGCUUGUGUAUUGUAUGUUUGGAUCUGAUUAGGUUUUAAUUGUAGCUUGCCACUUCACUCUUGUACUGAUACAAUGGCUACUAAAUUGACACGUCCUAUAUUAGUCAUUUUUCUUAAGAAACCAAAUGCCAUUCUGCCAUUCAGGUUACUAAAUCAAAUUGGGAAAAAACCGGUCCCAACUUCGGAACUUCCUAUAUAUGUGUAAGGCAAUUAAGUUGCCUAUGUAUGCCACAACUGCUGCUUCUUUUUCUUCUUCUUCUGCCUCUCUGUAAUCUUCUUAACCAAAGUCUAAGAACCAUGAAAUUUUUGGACGUGGGCGAGGCUAAGAAGCAGGUCUUGUUUUCACUGCCAACAACACUGACCAAUGUGAUGUUUAACUUCAUCAUUUUGGUGUCUGUGAUGUUUGCUGGCCACCUUGCUCAGCUUCAACUAGCUGCUGCAAACCUAGCCAUUUCAUGGGCUAAUGCCACCGGCCUUGCUGUUGUGGUAAUAAUAUUACUACUCGCAAUUAAUUUCUCCGGUUAUAUAUAUAAGUUUUUCUUUUUUAAUACUGUUGGAGUUUAGAGUGUAUUGUUUUGAUACUGUUGUUGGUUUGUGUGUGAAGGGGUUUAGGAAAAAUAGGACACAUGAAAUAAAGUGAUUUUAUUAGAUAAGAGGAGAAUAGUACGUAGUUUUGUGUAGCUAAUUGGCCUCCUAGUGGUGUAGCUAUUGACCGUGGCGGAACCAAGUUAAAGGCUAACCUGGUAUGUAGCCCAUGGAUUCUUUUUCUUGAGCAUGCAUGAGAAAUGAUUUUUGGGGUUGUGGUCACAGGAUGAGGGUGGCAAAAGUUGGCCUGCUAUGUUAAUCUGGCCACAUAUCUGGUUGGCGUGGCUAUUUCCGGCCUUCUUGGGUUCAAGACCAAGCUACAUGCUAAAGUGAGACAUUUGUUAUUUAUAUACCAAGCUAGUUGAUUUGUUCUGUUUUAUUUAGUUAGUGUUUCAUUAUUUGAUGUUUGUUCUUAACUUGAUUAUAUUAUGGUUUCAGGGGUUGUGGAUUGGACUAAUUUCUGGCAUCACUUGUCAAACCAGCAUAAUUUUGCUCAACGUAUUGUUCAAGAAUUGGGGCCCUCGAUCCGAUAUUACCCGACCUGAUACCUGAUAGACAAUCUUUUCUGUUCCAACAAAUAAGAAAAACAGUAUCUAUCUUUGUUAAGGUUUUGCUUAGACUCAAGUCCAUAAAUCAGAUCUCUAUUUCGGUACAACGAGAAGGAGCUCCAUCGACGUGCUUCGCAUGCAUGCAUGGUGCGCGUGCACGUUUGAAGAGAGAAAAUAAAAUGAGAACUGCUAUACAUUGUGGCUACUCAAAAUCUACAAGGCAGUCCACACACAACGUCAAUCUCCAAAAGCCCCUAAUUCAAACCGGCCCAACCCUCAGUACAACAAAGUGCACAAAACAAACAAUGAAAAAACGGGUAACAUAAAUUCUAGCUCACCACCACGACAGCCUGCAUCAAAACAUUGCUUUACAAUGUUAGACAUUUCACCUAGGGUGGAAAAAGUACUAAAGAAAGGGCAAAGAAGAAAUGCGAAUUCCGGAACUGCUAAUGCAUUCGAAUAAGAAAAGAUUGUGAAGAAACAACACAGGACUAAUGCCAGCUUGAACAACACUAUUUUCUUGAAACUCAAUGCUGUAGUCUCUACAUUAAAUGAAAAAUGAUAAAUCUGAAUUCUGGUAUGUCAAACAACUAGCACUGAUUCCAUUUUCACAAAAACAAAAGGCUUCUUCCAAAAACUGAAUUGAUUUUCCCUUGGUUUGGCUAACAUUUAUUCCUUUGAAAGAACCCCGGAUUUUGUAAAUACCUCAUUGCGUUAACUUCACAAAACAGGGCAGCUUUUGUUUUUGUUUUUUUUUUCCAAUGUCACGACGUUUGUCCAUUUCGCUUUUUGACUUUGUUAAACACAUUAAAAUCAAUGAAAUGGAGAAAACUAACAAGAGCCAGAAAUUUGAGAAUCUAGUGGUACACACCAAGAUUUUUAAAAGUCUCCGCCGUUGGUAGUGCAGGCAAUGACAUCUCUGCAAAACAAUAGUAGUAGCCAUGAGGUCAUGGACUUCACAUAAAACGGCAAAUAUUCUAUAAAUAUAAUCUCAGUAGUAUCUGUCAUAUAGUAUAUAUUAUGAAGAAAAAUGGCAACAGUUAUGCUUUGACCAAUCAGUUACCAGGCGCACAAAGGGACACCGAUGAAAUUGAGGAAGACGAAGGCCACGGUGCUGCAAUGUUGUCACUCAAAUCACAUAUAAAGCUGAUGCCUGUUAUAUUGUCAAAAAUCACAUCUGAAGGCAAGCUUUUAAGUAGACACCCUGCAUUUGAGCAAAACCAAAAUUAUCAAUUUAAUAAGAAUAAUGAUUACCAACUUCGCAUGCAAGGGAAUUCCUUUCAUUUCCGUCAAGUAAAUACAAGAGAACAUGAAAACCAACCCCACACUCAAGAACACCUGGGAUAUGUACAUUUAGGAUGCAUAUACGUUAAACCACCUGAGCUAAUUGACGCCCAUUUAAGUAAGUCACACUAUUAGCAUUGUAACCAACAUCAUUAUAAAGCAUCCACAACGCAGUCCAAAGAAAAUUUCCCAGAAUACAUUUUCAGUCACACAUGAAGCACACAAUGCUUUUCAGCAUCAGGUAUUCUUAUAUUUCUUGGAAAAUAACUACUGGAACGAAUACAGCUAUACAGAAUGCUACACAAGAUUGGAUAUCAAGUCAUGGGAAUGAAUAUAAUGAAUACAUAAAGGAAACAGGGAAAAAAAUUGAACAUAUCCUACCUUGUUGACCAUAUGCUGCUUCAGUGCCCCCAGGGAUCCAGAAAGAAAAAAAAGAUCAGAUAUAGUAAAGGAAAAGAGGCAGAAAAUUUGAAUGACACAGCAGGAUCAGUACCUUGAAUGCUGAAGUCUUUCAAGUCAACAUCACAAAGCUCAUAAACAUUUUCCAUUACCCCGCCUUUCCUCAACAUGGACCCAAACACUGUAGCACAGAUUAUAGCUUGUUUAUUUGUAAUCAACAUUUGCUUUUGUAUUCCAGAGAUGUAAGUGUUUAAUGAGCUACAGCAGGAAGGACUAGGGGCAGCAACAUUGCGACAUGCUUUAACUACUUCUGAAGGCUGCUUAAAAUCCAAAGGACAAACUGCACAAGUGAGAAUCAUUUUCAUGAGAAGAGAUGUACACUACAAGACAAGUCCAAAAAUACACCACUUAAAGAUGUAAUCAUCAAGUUAUACAAACCAAAUAAGAUGUGAAUAGUUCACGUACUAGUUAAGCAAGCCAAAUCUCAAACUUAAAAACUCCAUAGCAAAAGUGGGUAAACAAACAGAAAGGUUUAUCAUUUUUCUGUUCACAAAGCCAGCGCAUCUUAAUUUCUUGUUGCUCAGGAAUUGAAGUGGAUUUUUGUGUUCAACACUUUCCAGUUCCUGGGUUACAGUUAACAACUAUAAUACAAAUGCUGGAAUAUUUACCAAAAUUACAAUACCGGAAAAAAUAUAUAUAUUCGAUGCCGCACUAAUUCGUUAGAGCACAUGAUUUGGUAAUCAGUGAAUCAAGGUUGUGAAACUGUUGUUCAAAACACAACCAACUUCUAGAAUUUUCAUACAAGCAUGGCAUGAUAUUCAGCACAUUUAUCUCUUGAGAUAUUUUCCAUUACCGAACAUUAAUCACUGUAAAAGCAUACAUAUAAAUUAGGUUAAAUAAUUAUUAGUGAAAAAGAACAAAUGAUUAAGUUACCCUAUAAGAUAGUUAUGAAAAUUAACAUAACUCAAACACUUCAUACUAUAAAGAACUAAACGACAAUGGUAAAACUAGAGAUGGGAAUCCUUCAUGGCCCAUGAAAGGUUAGGCAUGAAAUUAAUAGUAUGGUUCAUAAAAGAAAAGAAAGUACCAAAUACUGAUUUUUUUUUUUUAAAGUUUCCUUUUUCUUCAACCAUCGAUUCAAACAAAUUGUCUUUUCUUUUUCUUUCUUGGCUCUUAAAAUUUCAGAUUUCAAUAAAUGGAGGAACCUUCUUACUGCAUGAGUUGCUCUUUUGUAUUCCUCAUUUAUUCAUUUCCCACCAAUAGGCAAGACAAAAAACUUAACACGAAAUUAGAUGCUCAAACCGCAGUUCCUAAAGUCUAAAAUAAAUUGGUCGUGUACAUAAUUUAACAAUGUACCUUUGUUAACUUUGCAGGCAGAUAAUAUUCGAAAUGCAGUAUUUGCAGCAUCUGACAAGAGUUUCCUCGAAAGAUAUGUAAAAACCACUCCUUUACAAUCGCUUAGAGUAUCAGUGUAGUUAAGCCCACCCACUAAAUUUUUGUUCUCAUUCAUCAUCAAUUGUUUUCCUGAGAUUUGACGUGCAGCAUCCAUGAUCGCAAGCUGGCAGAUUGGUCUGCAGCACUCUUUAAGAGGAUCAACAGUUGUGCAGGCCUCCAGUAAUCCACUUGUAUUUACUGUUUUAUCAAAGGUACUAAUGUCCUUCACUGGACAGGACCCACCCGUAAGAUUUGAUGAAUUUAUGGAGCAAAGUGUAGCUAUUGUACUGUUUGCACCCCUGCUGACUAAGAUACUGAUGAUAUCUGUAAAACAGUCAUUUGCGACUGAAUUUUGCAAAACCAACUUAUCAGGCUUGAAGCUAUCGAGACCCCGGAAGAUACGGAUCAAACUACUAAACUGUGGGCAACAUAUUACAUUUCCUACAAGUGCUGCUAGGGGUUGAGAACAAUCAGAUGCGGUUUUUUCCAUUACACUUGAUAUAGUAGAGAAAUUUACAGGACAUUUCCCAGUUAAAACAGGCUCAUAUCUCGUCGGAAAAGUUGGGUACAUUGGUGCCAAAGGAUCAUCUGCAGGAUUUGGGUAAUGUGGAAUAACAGCUGGUGAUAUUUCUAUGGGAUCAAAGAACCCAGUAGUAGGUGGAUUAGCCAGGCCUAGCUCUGCCAUUGAAGAAACAUGACUUCGGUUAAAUACUGUCUGCACUGCCACGACAUCUUGAAAACUGGAUAACCAGAUAAAGAAUAACAACAACUGACAGCACAAAUAACCUGCAGCCACAUAUAAGCCUGUCUUCAGAAGUUGUGGCAAGGAAUAUAACUACAGAACCCAUACAUUGCAAGUUUAGAUAUGUUUAAUGAAAAAAGGUACCAAAAGAAUCAACUUAAGGGAUACCUAAAUGAUACCUAUCCUGCAGUCAUAACAGCACUACACUAGGGAACGGGACCUUGAUGAAUCACCACAUAUUAAGUACUAUGAAUUCAUAAUACCCAUUUUUUUGCUUCUUCCUACUAUAGAAACCCUAUGCAAGCUAGCUAUAAUAAAUACAAACUUACCCUUAUGAUGAAUAACAGUCUGAAAACAGUCCAUAACUCCCAAAGCCCUCGGGUAACAUUGAGAUUUACGUAAGUAAAUGGUACUUUAGUUGGUGAUAGGCCCAAAAAUUGCUCGCGCCAAUGCAGCAAUACCUAUGAAACCAUCAAGAUCAGCAAAUACACAAGGAAAAGUCAUUAACUCAUAUCGAGUGCAGAUGAAAAGACAUAAAUGUACUACCAACAUAAUUUUUUUUUUUUUGGAUGAAUAAUUUUCUUAGAAUAUAUAUAUAUAUAUAUGUAUAUACAUAAUCCACCCGUUACAGAAUUCAUAAUCACAAACCCAAAUAGAUACAAACUUGCACUCGCAAAUAGGCCUAAUACUGGUUGGUGUGUCUAGUAGUGUGACCAUGUUCUUCAAUUCUUCAGAAACCAAAGAACUCAAGCAUACCACCAUACAUUUUCAUUUCUCUGACAAGAAGCCAAUGAUAAACCGCAAAAAUCGAAAAUUAUAUAUAUAUAUAUAUAAUUUUAAUUUUUUUUAAAAAAGGAAGCUAGAAAACUGAAAAUCCAGAGAGAACGGAAGCUAAAAGAACUCAUGACAGCUCACAACACCAAUUGAAAAUUUAAUCUUUUACCCUCCUUUUGGGAAUCAAGAAAGGAAGGAAAAGUAAAGGAACCAAAUCCAUUAACAAAUCUGAAAUUUCACAUUUGUUUUAAUCUUAGAAAAAUGAAAAGAAAAGGAAAACUUUAACUACCAAUAACAAGUUGCACCUUUUUUUCCCUGUAUUUUUCCACACUUUCUCAGCCACCAAACAGCAGAUAAUUACAGAUAUACAAGCAAAUAACGAAAAAAAAUACCCAAAAGAAACAGAAAAGUACCUGAAGACGUUGAAGCCAUUGAACAUAGUUUUCAGUAAGAAAUUGAACGGUUUUCGAGGUUCGCGAACCUGAACCCGAUCAAGCCCGCAUGGUUUUCAGGUCGAUGGAAUCGGGUCAAUUUGGAUACCCGAAAUCUGAGCUGAGCUGAAAUGGUGAACUGAUCACUCGGACUGUGUUUUCAGUAACUGCUUUUGAGGUUGGAUGUAGUGGACGACAGCGGUCUCGACCUUUUGCCUUUUUUGACUUCUACGGUUCUACACGUUUGACCCGGGUCUCGGGUCUCGGGUUUCGGGCCCCUCAAGCUGUGCAGUUCAAGGCCCAGGACGUGGUCAAGGCCUAUCCGGGUCGCCCGACAAUCAAAUCGGUGUAUUUAUGGACCAACCAUCCAAACGGUGCGUUUUGUGAUGCAUAGCCUGCGAGGGUUUGGGGGGUUUAUAUCUUUCUACGGCAUAUCUCACUCUCUCUCUCCCCGUCUCAAAUUAUCAAAAUUCCAUUUCUUCACUGAGAAAUGCGUUGAUUUCGAUCAAUGGAUCAUGAAGCGAUUUAAUUUUGAUUUGGGUUUGGCUUCAAUGAAUUGAUUCUUACAAGUUCCAGCAACAGCUCUAUUCAUAUCUCUCUUCCAGGUUUUUUCUGUUUCUCUUCCGACAUUUUUACUUUUUUUUUUAAUUAGAAAAUAGUUUAUGUGCAUACACAAAGGGGUAUGCAUAUUUCGUUAUGUUAUUGCGGUUUUCAUGUUUGGGUUUCUUAGAAAAUGUUUGUUCUGUGUCCAUGAACUGCAAUUCAAUUUUUGUGUGCGCUUUUGUUUGGUACUGGCAAAAUGGAAAGACUCAAGUUAAUUUCUUUACCAAAAGUUAGGAAUUUGUUUCCAAUCCUUCAAUUUAUAAGAGCAGCUUCUGAGAUGUUAUUCAAAUGCUGUUAUAUUUUACCGCAUCCAGAUUCAAGUUUCUGAACUUCGAAAGUCAAGUUCCCAAAGUUUAUGUGUGCACUUGUGCUUCUCUAUACAGAUGCAUAUAUCUUUUCUUUUUUAUGUUAUAAUGCUUUGUUUGGUCUAUGGGCAAAUGGGUUUAUUGGUUGUGAAGUGAGCAACCAAUUACCCUCACUCAAAUGAGGGGAAUUCAUUUUAUGUUCUUUUAGCAGAAUUGGGGACUAAUUACCCUCACUCAAAUGGGUUUAUUUAGACGUUCUUCUCUUUCUUGCAUCUCUUUUGCUAUCAGAUCAAGAUUUGGGGUUUUGAAUUAGUAAAGUUUCCAAAUUUGGUGUGUGUGUGUGUGGGGUGUGUGUGUGUGUGUGUGUGUCUGUAUCUGUGUCUGUGUCUGUGUCUGUCUGUCUGUCUGUCUGUCUGUCACUGUGUAUGUAUAUUGAACUUAAUUGAGUUGAGGAAUUGCAUUAGGUCUAUCGUGGAUGCUUAAGAGGUUUAUUUAUGAUUUUAGGAUAUUCUGUACAGGUGGUGUGGCACAAUAGAUUACUUCCUUGGCAAAAAUACUGCAGCGGCUAUGCAGAAUCUUCACCGUGUUAUAUCCCGUCUUUCCUCAACUUCACUUGGCACAAGCACGAGCGCAGCAAAGUUUCUGAGAGAGAAAAGUAAACCCACUUUGGGAAACAAUGAUGUGCUUUCAUUGAAGAAUGGUACCGAAGCUUCUCAAUUUAUCACCUCCCGUUUUUUUUCUUUCAAAUCUGGAGGUGAUGGUGAAAAUAAUGGCAAAGAUACAUUUAGCAAUAACGCAUCCGAUGAUUUGGGUUGGGAUUCUUUAUCCGCAUGGUCGACUGGAUUGACCAAGGAGCAUUUUGAUGGGGAGGUGGCUGGCAGACGGAAAAGUGGAGACGACACAUCUCAAUCUUCAGUCAUCUCUGGUCUGCAAGAGAUUGAAGAUAGAAUAAAGGAACUGGAGGAAGAGAACCGGAAAAGUAAGCGGUUUGUGGAUGGAUGGGGAGAGAGAUUAAAAGAGGUAAGUGCACUUUUGAAGCAAGUGCGUGAGCCGGGUGCAAGGGGGUCUUAUCUCAAGGACUCAGAAAAGGCUGAGAUGUAUCGGUUGCACAAGGAAAAUCCUGAGGUUUACACUGUUGAGCGGCUGGCCAAGGAUUAUAGAAUUAUGAGGCAGAGAGUGCAUGCCAUUCUUUGGCUCAAGGAGCUGGAGGAAGAAGAGGAAAAAAAGCUUGGUCGUCCUUUAGAUGAUUCUGUUGAGCUCCUGCUUGACACCUGUCCUGAGUAAGAUAUCAAUUUGGAAGCAUUACUUCUUUGACAGUAAAGGUUUCUUGAUGUGUUAAUUGUAGUUGCAAUUAUCUUUAUUAGUAUUUCACUUCUGCUUUAUGCAUUGGCUAGUGGUGCAUAGCUGAUUUAAUAGCCACCUUGUAUUUCUCAUAGUGCCCGAAUAUUUUCCUCUUUUCAGAUUUUUCAAUUCUCAUGACCGUGAAUUCCAUGUCGCUUCCCUUCCUUACAAACCUGACUUCAAGGUUAUGCCAGAGGGUUGGGAUGGUACCACCAGAGAUUUGGACGAAGUCCACUAUGAGAUCUCCAUGAAAGAAGAUGAAAUGCUUUAUCAAGAAUUUGUCCAGAGGAUGAACUUCAACAAAAAGAAAGUAAGUUCCAUAAGCCUCACAUUUCCAUGAGAGAGAGAGAGUCCAACGUUGAAAAUAAUAAAAAAAAAUUUAGCUAGUUCUGUAUUACAAAGUAUUACUGCUAUAUUUGUCGAGUCUUAAGUGACAGAUUAGGUGAGUCUUAACUGGUGAUGUUGGUUGACAAUUAGGUAACUGAAGUUAAGUGCCAUGCCCAGUUGGGUCUUUACAGCUUUUGAUUGUUUACCGUAUGGGUUUGCCUGUGGUUCCACUUUCUGGUUAUUGGAGUUGAAUUUAGUGGGAUAUUGGUUGAGUCUUAACUGAUGAUGUGGGUUGACAGAUAAGGUGAUUGAAGUUUAAAUGCCAUGUGUGAUUGGAUGUUUGCAGCUUUUGAUUGUUUGUGCUGUGGAUUUGUCUAUGAUUCCACUUUCUGGUUCUUAGGAGAUGAAUUUAGUGGGAUAUUGGUUAUCAAGUGAGUACGGGGUGGUAUUUUGCCAAACAGAAAAGAAUGGCCACUGGUAAGGUAAAGGAGCUUGGGAAUUUUUGGACACUCUGGUUCUAUUGACUCGCCAAAUGUGGGGUGGUAUUUUGCCAAACAGAAAAGAAUGGCCACUGGUAAGGUAAAGGAGCAGGGGAAUUUUUGGACACUCAGGUUCUAUUGACUCGCCAAAUGAAAGAGGCUGUGCUGCUUGUCUUUGCUCCACUUUCUUUGCCAUUAAAGACUGGUGUUGAUAACCAAGGUUUUGCAUAGGGUGAUUCGAGUCUUUUUUUUUUCUCUGUCUACGUUCUGCCCACUGAGCUGCAGAUUGACUCUGCAGUUUUGUAAUGUACCUCCAUAUUUUCUGUUCACGCUUUCUUUGGCCCUUUAACUGAUGGUUUCACUUGUGUGUAGAUGAAAGGGGAGGUUUUCUGCCACAAGCAUAGUCGUCGUCGUACUUCGGAUGGGUGGAACUUUACAGUGGAGAAACUAGGACCCAGAGGAAAGCGUGGAGGUGGUGGUGGCUGGAAGUUUGUAAGCCUGCCAGAUGGUUCCAGCCGACCGCUGAAUGAAAUGGAGAAAAUGUACGUGAAGCGAGAAACACCCCGCCGCAGACGCAAGAUCCUUCCCUGAUGAUGAAGUCUUUUGUUAUUGAGUUAGAUGUUACUUAUAAGAAUAUUUGUAGUAGUUGCAAAUUGUGUGUUCUGCUCCAUCUGCAUUUCUACCAUUGUUAAUCAUAGACCUUUUUCUCAGAUUUUUGUCAUUGUAUCUUUUGCUUAGGUUUAUGGUUCAGCAACCUCUUUCCUUCCCACUACAACUGAUUCACUAAUAAUAAUCACGGAGCGAUAUCUUUAGAGCAACUCCAACCGAUAUGUUAAAAGUGCCAUAUAGACAUUUAACGGCUAGAAAUAAUAUCUUACAUUAUUCUAACCGAUGUGUCAAAGCUGAUGUGGAUUGAAGGUUGAAGGUUGAGAUGUUAUUUUUGACAUUUCAAAAGUAAGAUGUCAAAUUAAUAUUUUAUUAUUAUUUUUCUUUUCUUUUUAAUUAAAAAUAAAUCAACACUAAAAUGUAAUAAAAUAAUAAUUUAAUUUGACAUAUCGGGUGGAGUGUAAAGUUAUGUAAGAUGUAAAAUUGCCACAUCAACUAUCAAAUUUAAAUUUAAUGUUUGAUAUUUGACAUCUCCUUUAGAGAUGCUCUAUAUAUCAAAAAGUUUGAUGUCAAAUAUUAUUUUAAUAUUUUCUUUUUAGUCAUGAACCUUACUAUCAUUUAUUAUUUUAAAAAUUUCUGCAUCAUAUGGGCCUUAUUUAUUUUUAAAAAUAUAAUAAAAAUAUAUGAUAUUUGGGAUUUCGAGUGGAGUUUUAAAUUUUUUCUAAAACUUCAAAUUGUCACAUAAGCCAUCAAAUUCAAAUUUAACAUUUUGCAUUUCACAUCUCCCUCGAAGAUACUCUAACUAAUUACAUUACUUUUAACUCUUAUUGAUAGCCAAGUUUACUGUGGUUGUGUUAACCUAUAAAUAACUUGAUUUUUCUAGACUCUCUCUCAUCACCUCUCUUUCCUCUGUUUUUUUUUUUGUUUUUUUUAUUUUUAAAAUCAUGAGUCCGUCACAUGUAAAACACUUGUAGCUCAAUAUCAUGUUAGUAGCCGUUGGUUGAUCUAAAUGUUAAUUAUUCGAAAAGUAAAUAUUAUUUUAUAAAAUAUAAUUAUUUUUCUUUUUCGGACAAAUAAUAGAAUAUAUACAAGAUACUUUUAUUAUGGGGCCAAUACAUCCGCAACAAAACUACACCUUACAUGGGGUUAGUCACAACUAAAUAUCGAACUUAUCACAAAUUUAUAUAUCAUCAUCGCUAUCCAUAUAAGUCAAACUAAGACCUAUUACCAUCAAGUGGAACAAUAUACCACUAGACUAAAAAUUUAGUUGGUUAAAAAAAAAACAUUAUUUGACUCGGAUAUCUUUUAUCAUGCUUAAUGAAAUUCCAAAUUUAUUCUAUACACAAAUAAAAAAUAUACAAGCAGCGAUAGUUUGCCGCGCUCAGCUUGUUAAAUAUCAAUUGUUACAAUUAAUUAUCAAUUAAAGAUUAGCAUAAACUACGAUAGUAAAAAACAAUAAGAUUCUUUAAUAUUACUUUCGUUGAGUUUAACCUGCACAAAUCACCCAAUUAGUUACCACCAUUCCCGCCAUGAAAGUGAUGACUAUUGAAGGGAAAAAAAAGUGACAUUGGGAUAAAUCAGAUCAGAUAGCAUAGAUGAUACAUCUUUAUGAGGAAAAAAAAAAGUUGGACUUUUUCUUCUUUUUUUAUAUAUUAUUUUCCUACCUUUCUUCUGUACAUGCGUACUGUAGAGAGAGAGAGAAGCACCAACAGGCACCGAAAUAACAGAAAAAAGCAACAUGGUCAUUUUGUAGAGCAACCAUGAACAACAAGAGCAAUCAAAGCUCCGACAGAGAAGAAAAUCAGUCGAAGAAAGAAAAUCCUAUCUCAACCCUCGAUUCAAGAUUCAACCAAACCCUCAGAAAUGUUCAAGGGUACCAAUCCAGUUCCUUGCGUAUAUAUGAUUUUUGUUAAUUUCUCAUUUCUUAUUGAUAUUUGCUUGUGAUUUUCCUCAGAUUUGAAAACCCAUUCAGGAAAAGUUUCUAUCUUUCCAAUCAACUAUUAAACUGUCACUAAUUAGAAUGCCGUUUCUCACUCGUUAAUGGCUCCAAUUCAUUACAUUGAGGAUUUGACUUGGUCCUAACACGUAAAGUAUAGCUUUUGAUUUUUCAAAUUGUGAGAGUUGGUUGAGAAAAGGAUUAUGGGAUUUUUUGGUUUCGAUAUAUUAGAUCAGAAUCAGUGAGAAAAGUAGUGUGAUUUGGGAGAUCUCUGUUCUUAAAUUGGAUAAAUUCAUUCAUGCUCCGUUCUUUUUGGUUGGUGGGAAAAUGUGGCAACACAGAAGCAAUCAGACCAUUUUAAUUUAGAGUGAAUAUGUGAUUCAUAGUUCUGAUCUGUUGCUUCUGCUUAGUUUACUCGGCCACCGAUUUUGUAAGAUUGACCUCAAAUUGAUGUCACAUACCGGAAAAUUGGUGGGGAUUACAUUCUGACUUUUACUGGAUUUAUUUUCUUGAUUCAAGCAUUUGCUAAUUUGUCUUAGAUUCGUAGUGUAAAAUAGUUUGGUUCAUUAUAUGUAAUAAUCAUAAGUAUGGUGAAAAUUCUGGUAUAUUAUUGCCAUUAAUAUUAUCCAAAUCUGGCAAAUUGUAGAUAUAAUUGCAUUUGGUAUUAAAAUGCCCUUGUUGUGCUUAUCAAAUUGAUAAGAACAUUGCAUUAGAUUUUCUAAGCCUUCUAAGUUAUAAAAACAUGACUCCUUUCCAUUGUUUCAUUAUAUAAUUUUCUAUCUGAUAUCUCUAGUGUCUGGAAUCCUAGCAGUUUGUGAUGAAAGCUAAAUGUUGUUCUAAACAAAUCAAACGUAUUGUUUGUCAAAUUAGUUCAAUAUCUUAUUAUUUAUGUUUUGAUUAUAUUUUUCUGAUAUCUAGGUUGCUCAAAGGUCGUAGUAUGCCUGGUAAAGUAUUACUAACCAGGAGAUCAAAUGUGCUAGAUCAUUCAAAAUUACAAGAACCCUCACUCAAUUAUGGAAGGAGCUUCUCAUUCAAUGAUGCUGAUACAAGUGAUCACAUAGCCAAGGCGUUAGAGGUUUAUUUUGAUAUCCUUUUUGUCUAAUAAAUUUGAAAAGAACAUACCAUUUGCCAUAGUUGAUUGGCUGGAAAUUCUACUAAUACUUUUACUUCUAAAAUAGGAAGAAGUUGAAAGCCUAAGCAAUCCCAACAAUAAUGCAAAUUCAAAUAAGUUAAAAUCAUCAACUUCGAAUGUUGAGAAUCUUUCCAAAGGAGCUCAAAAAUCCGUCAUGGGAGCUAGAGCUACGGAUUCUACAAGAGUUAUGAAGUUCACAAAGGUCCUUUCAGGGACAACAGUCAUAUUAGGUAUAAGGACUCUCUCUUUAAACUUCCCCCCUUUCCCCUGCUUUUCUUCUCUCCCGCCACUAUAUUCAUGAAGGUUAUAUAAAGGUAAAAUGUGUUUUUUUUUCUCAGUAUGUUCUGAUGGUGCUUCGAUGAUUUCUUAGAAUCUGUUAAUAUCCUCUUAUUUCAUUCCAUCCAUGCAAACCCUAUAGCCAUACACUACAACUCCACAUGAGUUCUUGUUUUUCCCCUCCAAAAGGAUAGUGCUUCUCAGAAACCAUAAAAAUGCAUGGCCAAGCUUCCAUGAACAUUUUGUGCCAAAGCUUUAAAGAAGCAGAGCAAUGGAGAAAAAAGGGUCAAUAUUUCAGCCUCCCCUUUGCACAUAAUACACCCAUGAGGAGAUAGAUUAACUUUAGGUCUCUUUUGAACCACAAGUAUUUACUCUACCACGAGCAAUAAUCUAAAGAAUAUUUUUACACAGUACUUUUGCCCCUCCAAAUCAUAUGAUAGGGGUUGAAAAGGGGGAGAGAUGACUCAUCAAUCAACCUAUGUAAAAUAACAACUAAAAUGCCCAAAGACUUAAGAGUCCAAUUCUAUCUAGUGUUAAAACUGCUAAUGAAAUCUAAUGAAAAAUUCUCAAUCAAAGAGAGUCUUGAACGAAGCUGCAAAUUUCUAUAGAGAUCUCCAGCUUUAUGGAAAGGAGACAUAAGACUUAUUGGCAAUUGAUACAUUAUGAGAGUUGGGUAGUCUAUAAAGACACGGAAAAUUUGCACACAGGAGACUCCCUGCUAUGCACGGGACCUCCCAAAACCUAAUCUGUCCCUAGUCCCCAGUACUACACGGAGAUAAGGAGAGAACAAAAUGAUACCCUGGCAUAUUGUUUGUUGCGUUUUAGCUUCACAAUGUUGUACAGUCCUAUCAUCAUGAUUAGUGGGCAUCCUUAUGAUGUUAAAUCUAAAUUUCACACUUGUUAUUGUUACUGGUAUGCAGAAGCAUUUCAUUCUGGCAGCUUAGGCCACUAUUUUGAUUAAUCUGUUACCUUUACAAAUUUCCUUUUAGCACUAAUUGAGCUGUGGAUAUAUAUUUUUGUUUCCUUCUUUUUCGAAUUUUUGUUUCCUUCUUUUUUGAAUUUAGUCUUUAAUUGUUUAUGUAGAGAAGUUGCAUGAGUUGGCUUGGAGUGGGGUACCACCAUAUAUGCGGCCAGAUGUAUGGAGGCUUCUUUUGGUAAGCUCGCUGCCUCUAUAUUAAUGACAUAGAAGCUGCAAGGUCCUCCUUGUGUCCCACUUUCUUUAUUUACCUUGUCUUUUCCUUUUGUAUUCUGUAUUUCUUUUCAUUGCAAGUUUAAAACGUUUGAUGCAUGCAGUUGGGUUAUAGGUGUCUAGUUCAUUCAGUGGUGUCCAAUGUUCAGCCCAUGCUUUGAACUUGAAGUUUUAUGCAUGUGUUACUUUGUUAUAUCACUUUUCGUUUUAACUUCUUUCUUUCUUGUGAAUUUUUUUUUUCUCUAUAAUUGGAGUGGAAGUUCUGAAGUAUGUAUUUGAAGAUAGCAUUAUGUCUUAGAAAAGGGGUUCACUUUAUUUGCCUUUUUGUUAACCUGGAUUGCCUUUAUCUAGUAAACAUUGUGGCUUUUUUGAAUUUAAAAUAUGAACUGACAACAGGGAUAUGCACCAUCUAAUUCAGAUAGAAGGGAGGGAGUUCUAAGAAGGAAACGCCUUGAGUAUCUUGACUGUGCUUCUCAGUACUAUGACAUUCCGGAUACUGAGCGGUCAGAAGAUGAGAUAAAUAUGCUUCGCCAGGUGUUUUAAAUGUUAAAAAAGCUCCCAUCUUUCUUAGUUCUAAUAUGUGGCUCCUGGUUUUUACAAUUACCUUUGUUGUCCUUAUUAGAUUGCUGUUGAUUGCCCAAGAACUGUGCCAGAUGUAUCUUUCUUUCAGCAAGAGCAAGUCCAAAAAUCCUUGGAGCGCAUCCUUUACACAUGGUUAAUACUACAUUUGCCCAUAUAUUCUUGGUCAUUGCUGUAUUUUUUGUAACAUCGAAUGUGUUCAUACAAGGAAAAGAGAAAUGAUUGCAUGAAGUGUUACUGAUUGUGCUAAGUUGCAUCUAUUUGGUCUGCUGAUUCCUAAUAACGAAAGUGUAAAAUCUGCAACUGAUUUAAAGGCGUAUGAUUUAUUAAUCUAGGAAUUCCAGUCCAUUUAUCUUUGUUAUAGGGUUCAUCUAAGGGGCUUUGGUUCAUUACACAUGUUGAUUAUCUUGAAAUGACAGCAUGGAACAGUUAUACAAUUUUUUUUUUUCUUCUACAUUUUGUCCUGUUUAGAGAUUUAGAGGUUCGCUAUUACUAAUCAGACAUGAAUGAGAAUUUCUGUCUUUGCCCUAUUGGUUUUCCCAAAGUAGGUCUAGCUCUGAACUGUCUGAGAUAGUAUGUCAAGUUGAUAGUGAGUUGUUUAAGUUAAUAUGUACAUGUUCUCUCUACACUAUCUUUAGGUAGGUUUAAUGUUCUUGACAUUGUGCAUUUAGAGGGCUGGCAUGGGGCAUGAUUCUCAUAUUGUAAUUGUCACUUAACUAUACAUGUUUGCUACAUUUCCGCUGCUAUUUAGUCAUUUUAAUCAGGAUGUUUAAAGAGCCUAGGUUUAUUUCAUGGGGUUUUCAUGGUAGGUCUCUAUGUAGAUGUGGACCAAGCAGGGAGAAAUAGUGAGUAGUGACAAAAGCUCUUCUAUACGCAUAACUUGCCUCAGUUAUGUGACGCUUCCUUUUUCUUCCCUCUUCUUCCUCUAAUUGAGAAAUUUAGCCUAUCAGAUGCAGAUAACAAUUCCUGGUACCUUGAUAGCGUGAAUUGUUUCUAUUUUAUUUUCUGAGCAGUUUUUGGAGUCCAACAGUUUAGCUUCAAAACAAAAAAAAAAAAAAAAAAAACUGGUCUAGAUGUGGAGUAUGGUUUCAAGAUGCCAUCAUUUUAUUAUUUUUUCUUUUUCUUUAAUUAUUUGAUUUUUAUGAUUAUUAGUUAUGUCUUUUCAAGUUACUUCUCAUGUAUUUCAGGGCCAUUCGACAUCCUGCAAGUGGAUAUGUUCAGGGAAUAAAUGAUCUUGUUACUCCCUUUCUAGUUGUUUUCUUGUCCGAAUACUUAGAUGGGAGUGUGGAUAAUUGGUCGAUCUCCGAUUUAUCUCCUGAUAAAAUAUCUAAUAUAGAGGCUGAUUGCUAUUGGUGCCUAUCAAAUUUACUAGAAGGUAUGCAAGACCAUUACACUUUUGCUCAGCCGGGAAUCCAGAGGCUUGUGUUUAAGCUAAAGGAAGUGGUCAGGCGGAUUGAUGGUAACUCCCAUUUUUUGCUUUUAUUUUCUGCUUCUUGCACGCUUUUUACUGGAUCAAGUGAAUCAACCGAUGCUUCUACGCUUGUAUAUGUACUUAUAAGCUUCAUUUUGGUUAAUUUUGCUAGACCUAUUUUGAAUAGGGAAGUCUAUUUUUGGCUGUCUCUUCUAUUAUGUGUGGGGUUGGCUGAGAUGUGGGAUAGAGUGAAGUUUUGGGCGGCGUUAUGGGCUUCGGUUACUCCUGUUUUUAAGGAUUUGGCUGUCUCUUCUAUUAUGCGAGAUUUGUUAGCGGUUGUGAAGUGAUAUGUUGCUAUUUUCUCUUUUCCUGGGUGGCCUCCUUGUUUGUUCUUGUCCUUCUUUCCUUUGUUUGUUUUGGUCUUGAGAUUGCUGUUUUCUUUUGUUUUGCUCUUGUGGAUUCCUUAUCCACUUGCUUGUUUCUUUGUUUAUCUCUUUUGAAUUUAUAAAGUUUCUAUUCAAUAAAUAAAUAAAUAGGGAAGUCUACUCUGGCGUAAUUUUCAUUAUGGAAAUCUCUUUGCUUUUCUGUAUGUAUAUUUGGACUUAUACACAGCCACCAAGAGAUACAAAUGGCAUGGCUUCACAUAUGGCUUUGGCCGGGCUAAAGAAUGGAAUGUUUUAAGCAUGUAGAAACAGAUCAAAGGAAGUUUAUAUUUGUAGUGUUAAUUCAGAAACACUAUAAUAAAAGAAAAGAAAUAUGCUUCAUAUAAUUUCCCCAAAAAGAAAAUGCUUCAAAUAUUAUAAUGAAAAAUCAAAUAGAUUGUUCGUUAUAUUAGGCGCACUGGGGCAUUUUCAGUUUUUCUGAAUCUCAUGAUGCAAUAAAAUGUUGUUGCGCAUCAUAUUAUAGUGAGAGUUUGUUAUAAGUGAAUUCUGGCGAGAGCAGUUUUUGGGGUGUUGGUUUUGUUGAAGGAAAGACCAACUUUUGCUCUUAUACUCAGACUUCCAUUUAAUAUCUUCAGACACUGGCAAUACCUCAUGCUCUAGGAUGCAUGAAACACGUCAAAGUUCUGCUAUCAUCUUUGAUGUACGUACUCAUUAUUUUUUUCCUCUACUGCACUAGAACCUGUAUCCAGACACGUGGAGGAGCAAGGGCUGGAAUUUCUUCAAUUUGCUUUCCGGUGGUUCAACUGUCUUUUAAUACGCGAGGUUUGCUUCUACAGAUCUCUUCUCUGUACUUGCUAUAGUUUCCUCUUUGUAAAAUAUAUUUGUGCGCAGUGCAUAAAGUUGACCAACUGUAAUCUUGAGGUUUACUUGAAUUGUGGUAGAAUAAUUCUAAACAGAUUUGGCCUGGACCUGUGCUUUUAUCAUUUAUUGCAAAGCUAAUGGAAAUUCUUUCUUUUUGCUGCUUAGAUUCCUUUCCAUCUCAUUUCUCGUCUGUGGGAUACCUAUCUUGCCGAAGGAGAUGCAUUGCCAGAUUUCCUUGUGUAUAUAUUUGCCAGUUUUCUUUUAACGGUAAGAUAGAAACUGUUACCACUGCAAACAUAUAGUUUCCUUGGUUUCAUUACGUAUUUGGAUGCAUUAGCUGUGAGCAUGUGAUAAGGAAGCGUGUACUUUUAUUUAUUUGUCCAUUAACAAGUUCGCUGUCCAGUUGGUAAAUGAUGGGGGGGUCGAGAGGCUAUCCUUCUUGACAGAUUUGGUUAUGGAAAAAAAUCUCAUCGUUUAUGAUAAUUUUGACUCUUUAUAUAAGGUUUUAAAGACCUUUUGAAUUGCAUUCAUGGCAUGCAACACGUUCAUCACUGAAAUGCACUGUAGAUUACUUUCCAUUUAACAGAAAUGGUGGACAUAAAUGCAUUCUUGCUCACCAAUCAAGUAUCACUAUGCACAAGGUAGCCUUAUAUAUAUCAUUAGCUUUUUUGCUAUAUUUCCUGGCCCAUGUUUACCAUUUCUCCAGGGUUUUUCUGUACUUGUAUACCUUAUGGGGUGGUAACUACUUUUGGGUGGUGGUUCUAUUGAGAUCCCUUAUUGGUCCACUAAUUGUUUUACUUUGUUUUUAUUCUCUCAACUUCAAAUUUUACCUUUGAAUAAAACUACAACACUUUUCCUUUUUGAAUAAAUUGUAGAUUCAUAUAGAAUGACUUUUGUUCCUUUGUUACUUUUCUUUUGCUCGAGUCAAUUUGACAGCUGAUAAUCUGAAAGGCUAUUUUCUGUGUUAUUUGGCUAUAUAUUCCUUUAUAUUCUUGCUGUAAAGCCAUGGUCUGCUUAAACUGCUCUAAAUUUUUCGUUCAUAACAGAAUUGAUGCCAAUAACUUGAAAUCCACUAUGAUUUGAUAUGCAGUGGUCAGAUGAGCUUCUGAAGCUUGAUUUCCAAGAGUUGGUUAUGUUUCUUCAACACCUUCCCACUAAUAACUGGACUCACCAAGAGCUGGAGAUGGUGCUUUCAAGAGCUUUCAUGUGGCACAGUAUGUUCAAAAGCUCUCCUAGACAUUUGGCCAGCUAAAAAAGGAAUUUGUAAUAUUCAUUAUCUACCGUCAUCUCUGAAUUUUGGCUUUUUUUUUUCUAUUUAUAAUUUUCCGUUUUGUUGUUCUUGAUGUCGUUUACUACAAUUUUUUUCUCAUAUGGUGGAGGCCCCUGGCACCUUGCCCAUAUUAUAUGUAUCAGGUGUCUCUAAUAUUUGUAUUUGCAAGCAUUUCUUUGUAGAUUUGCCUUUGAGCAAUGGAGGAAAAGAAAAAACAGACUUUGUAUUGAUUUGUUCUUACUUCAUUGAACAGAGCCGACGGAACCCGUAAUCGAAGACAUUUCUCGUAAUUGUUAUUAAUGUUGACCACAAAGUCCGGGUACAAUUUCUUCAGCCACCCAUCUGAAGGUGCUGCCAUGGAAGCUGAUGGCUUAGCAAGUUUUUCUUUUUUGAAAUAUUAACAUAUAACUAUAGGUAAUUUUAGAGAGUAACAAAAUUGUAAAUAAAACAAUUUAAAGGUACGUGGGUGGCAUGAGUAGUUUAUUGGGUGACAGUACCGUCACUCUUUCUUAAAAAGAAAAGAAAAUGAUGGCAUGGAGGCCCAAUCGAACAUAGAGUGCUCUUAAGGCCCAGGUUUUAGUGGUUGAGCUGGAACAAACCAACCCUUUAACCACCUUUCUUGUUUCGGUCAUUUACUUUGUGUUGUACACCGUUUUGAGGUUAGGGGAUACUAAAUUAAACAAAAGCCAUUGUUUAGUACAACACACACUCAUAUUGGAAAUAGGGUGACAACCAAACUAAUUUUUUACUUGAUACAAAAUCCCUAAUUUUAAUUAUAUACUCCAUCAUUUUACAUUUUAUAUUAACUAUCUACUCAUUAUCGAUCCUAGCAAAAAAAUUGAACGAAAUGUACUUUAUUAAAAAUACUCAUUAAGAUUUUGAACGGUGCAAAAUUUAGAGUUUAAGUACGAUAAUAAGAGAUGUUGAAAGGGUAGCAAUGAUGGUGAGAAAGGGAAAGAAGAAAAUUACAAAGAAAGAAAGGGGCACUUUAAAAUUUGGUUAAGAAAAGUAUGAUUGUAUUAAUAAGACAAUAGCCUCAAAGAAGAUUGAGAGGAGGAGGAGGGGACUCUAUUUUCAAAGGAAAGUUUAAAGAGAGUUAUUAUUCACACUUUACAAAAGUCAUCGUGCACUCAUUCCUUACAUAAAUAUAAAAUAGAAAUUGCAAAUGGAGGAGAGCAAGAUGUCUUUUUUAAAAGUGAUAAUAACAAUUCCCAAUUUACAUUACAAGUAGACAACAUAGAAUUAGAAUUAUCAACAAAGGACCCAUUACUGUUGUGGUUUGGAGCAAUUGUUCCUUCCGGGAAAGCUUUGGAUUCGAGUCCUAGCAUUAGUAUAAUAUAUGUGAAUUUAAUAUGCUAUCACCCCUCUUAAUAGAAAGGUCUUGAAAAAAAAUUGGCAAAAUAUAUUGUUUCUAUACAUAAGUAUUUGUAUACACAUCCUUUAUAUAAGAAAUGACAAAAUAAUGGAGUUUUAUUGCCUGCCAAUCUUAUCUAUUGCGUUGUUAGAUUUUCAAUUUAGGGCAUUAUUUAAUUACAAAUCUACUUGCUAAUCUUAUCUUAUUGCGUUGUUAGAUUCCAAUAUAAGAGAUAUUUAAUUAAAAAUCUGUUUAGUUGAGCUACAGUCUCGCAACAUAACAUGUUAGAUUUUCUUGUAAGUAAAUAUGUUUCUUUACAGUUCAAAGAAAGGAGCCUUUUUGUGAUUUUUCUAUUUUAUUUUUUCUUAUUCAAAUAAAAUCUUUAAUUUAGGAGUUGAGUUUAUCUAUGCCACCACCACAAGAACCAUGACAAAUAAGGAAAUCAAAAUGUCUAAUCCACAUCACCUUUGAACCUUGAUAAGCCACACCACACAUGACACACGACAAUAAAUUCCCAAUAAAACCGUUAGGUCGGUAGGAUGACGCCACGUGUGAACCUUCAAUAUGGCAGAAGAUCAACGACAGCCAAUGCACGAAACGUACGUAGCUAUAUCAUAUUUGACACGCAUAAAGGCUCCUGCAACGGUAAGAAAAACAAGGCCUUAUGGGCAAGUCUUUAUAACGCAGGCCCCUUACCAGCUUUUGUUUCCAUCUUCUCUCUCUCCUUUCCCUACUUUCUUUCUCUGCGGAGAUCUUCUUCUUUCUUUGGUGCUUGUGCAUCUAAAUCUCUAUCCCUUUCACUUUCACUGCUUAUAUAUAUACAUAUAUAUAUAUACAUACAGGGCAACAGAAACAGUGAGGCUGAUCAUCUUGUUUUCUGAUUUGUUUGUUUUCAUUCUUCUCUCAUGGAGUUUGGGAGAUUUGCUUGGCUUGUGUUGCUGGUUUGCUUUGGCUUGUGUUUCUCUUCCACACAAGGAAACAGAUUCUAUGUUGGUGGGAAAGAUGGGUGGGUCUUGAACCCCUCUGAUAACUACAUCCACUGGUCUGGGAGGAACAGGUUCCAGGUCAAUGACACUCUAUGUAAGAUGCUCAAAUCUCUCUCUCUCUCUCUCUCUCUCUCUCUCUCUCUCUCUAAUAUUUUAUAGGUUCUUCGUUUUUGAUCAUUUUCUGAGUCUGAUCCUCUUUAGAUGUCUUUUUGUUCGUAUUGUGCUUAGUCUAAAAUUACAUUUAAACUCUCAAACUGAAAACAACGUUGUUUCAGACAUAUAUCAGAAGAGAAAAUGACACUUUGUGUUAGAUGCGCAAAUAUCUGGCUAUUUCCUGAUAUCGAGCUUAUGCCUAAAACGAAGACAUAGUAGGACAAAAAAUUUAGAACAUAAAUUAGAGAUCCUAUAUUUCUGCUUAAUUUUUUGGAUUAGUUUGGAAAUUUAUAAUUGUUUGUUCGAAUGCAUGUGACACAUACAGAUUUCAAGUACAAGAAAGGAACAGACUCAGUGCUUGUGGUGAACAAGGAUGACUUCUUCAAGUGCAACACCAAGAACCCAAUUCAGAAGCUAGAUGGUGGUGACUCAGAGUUCACUUUGGAUAGGUCUGGGCCAUUCUACUUCAUCAGUGGGCAAAAUGGUAAUUGUGACAAGGGCCAGAAACUCUUCAUAGUUGUCUUGGCUGUUAGGCAUCACAACAAACCAAACCCUCCUGUUGCUCCCACAACUCCCCCUAGCACCAGCCCUACCUCCCCAUCCCCCAAAUCUCCAUCUCCUCAGUACCCUCAUCACCCUCCUGGGACCUCACCAUCACCAGCAUCAGUGGCUAACCCUCCAGCCACCUCACCAUCACCAGUAGUGGCUAGCCCUCCUGCCACCUCCCCAUCACCAGUGGGCUACCCUCCUGCCACCUCCCCAUCGCCAGUGGGCUACCCUCCUGCCACCUCACCAUCACCAGUGGGCUACCCUCCUGCCACCUCACCAUCACCAGUGGGAUACACUCCUGCCACCUCACCAUCCCCAUCAACAACAACAUCUCCAGCGCUAGCGCCAGGUCCAUCUUCAUCCCUUACACCAUUUCCUUCUCCACCCUCACCGCCCCCCGAGGGGCCCACACCGCCCUCCGAGGGGCCCACACCGGCCCCGUCCGCAGAGUCUGCGGGCCCCACACCACCGGGAACCGUUUCUCCGCCGCCCGGGACAGCGGACUCGACGGCUCCGAGACCGGCGGGGAGUGGAGCGUCGCAUAGUGUAACGGCUCCUUCGAGCGUGCUGGUGUCU